RNAcentral lists this long non-coding RNA (62810 nucleotides) under Physcomitrium patens. Its description in RNAcentral is "long non-coding RNA (PPAT_LNC007582)". The record is from RNAcentral. Lineage: Eukaryota; Viridiplantae; Streptophyta; Bryopsida; Funariales; Funariaceae.
AAAGUUUGAGUUUAAAAAUAAUUUAUUCUAUUUAGAAGAAAAAUUAUAUAUUUCAAAAGACAAAGCAUGAUUAUGUUUUUUUUAAGCUCCUCAUGACUUUCUAGCAACCACACAUUUUGGAUACAAUAAGACUUUGGAGUUAAUAUUAUGAAAUUUUUGGCGGUCUCAAAUAUAAAAGGUGGUUAAAAACUUUGUACAAUCAUAUGAUAUUUGUUCAAGUUCAAAAAAUCCUUAUUAUUAACCUAAUAGACUUCUUCAGCCAUUACCUAUUUUAGAUCAACUAUAGUCUUCUAUUUCUAUGGAUUUUAUUACGGAUCUUCUAGUCUCAAGUUUGUAUGAUUCUAUAUUUAUGAUAAUAGACUAUUUUAUUAAGAUGGCAUAUUUUGUACUAUAUAAAAAAUUUAUCAGAAGUAAAAAAAUAACUAAGUUUUUUUUUGAUAACAUCUAUUGCUAUUAUGAAUUAUCUAAGGAUAUUAUAUUAAAUAAAGAUAUUCAAUUUUCAUCAAGAUUUUUAAGAAUCCUUUUUAAGAUUCUAAAUUUGGAUAUAAAGCUCUCUUUGGCUUUUUAUCUUCAAACUAAUAGAUAAAUAAAACAAAUGAAAGAAGUUCUGAAAUAAUAUUUGAGGUAUACCAUCAAUUAUCAUCAAGAUGAUUGGACAACUCUUUUGUCAUUCGUAAAGUUUGCAUAUAAUAAUUUGGUAUAUUUUUCUAUUCAACAAACACCUUUUUUUUUUGCUAAUUAUGGUUAUCAUCUAUAACUUGAUACAUUUGACUUUUCAAAAAUUGAUAAUCUUAUAGCAAAAGUUUUAACAAAUCAUUUGUGAGAGCUACAUGCAAUAAUAAAGGCAUAAUUAAAAGAAACUUAAGAAUGACAAAAGAUCAACAUAGAUGCCUAUUGCAAAGAACAACAAUUCAAUGUAGGUAAUAAGGUAUGAUUAUUUUGUCACAAUAUUAAGACUACUCGUGCUUAUAACAAGUUGGACUAUUAUAGAUUUGGACCUUUAUUUAUUUGUGAAUAAGUCAAAGAUGUUGCUUAUUAAUUAUAUCUAUCGGAUUCUAUAAAGAUCCAUUUUGUAUUCCAUGUAACUUCUUUUGAGCCAUAUAAGAAAAUAAAUAUCUUAGAAAAAAGAAAAAUACCAUCUUCUCUUUGAAAAGUGGAUAAUAAUCAAGAGUUUGAAGUGGAAGAAGUCUUAGAUUCAAAGCAAUACCAAAAUAGGUUGAAAUAUCUUAUUUAUUGAUGUAGAUCUGAUAUUAAUCAAUACACAUGGGAGCUAAGAAAGAAUCUUACAAAUGUAGCAAAGAAAGUUGAGGCUUUUCAUUGACACCAUCCAUCAAAAUCAAGAUGAAGAAUUGCAAGAUUCAUGAAAGAUAAUGAUUGCUCCUUAUGGAAUUCAUCCUUAGAAGAAGAAAUAAUGUCAUGGACAUACACAUUUACUCCAAUAGUUACUUAUAUGAUUAGAUAAAAGUAAAUAAAUAUAAAUUAAUUUCACAAUAUCUUCUAAAGAAGCUUUUUAGAAGCUAUAUAGUUAGAAUUUUGACUUUAUAGGUGUUUGUAGUUAAUUGAUAGGUUAGAAAAUUGAUCAAUAAGCUAAUCAUGUUAGUAACUUAUAAAACAAGUUAACUAUGUGGUGCGCAUAUAGAUAACUUGUCUUGCAAAUUAAGACAUAUGUCUAAUAAAAUCAACAUAUGCUAGAGGUCCUAUAGAAGAUUACCACGUAUCUUCUUAUUAGAGAGUAUAUAUAGAGGCAAGAGUGAAGCCUUCCUAUUCUUGCCAAUGCCUUUUUAGUUCUUAGUUUUGUUUCAAGACUUUUUAGACUUCUUAUCUUUAGCAAGAGCCAUUCCAGUUCAAUAUGUUACCAUCUUUGAAUAAUUUUUUAAUCUUUUCAAGUAACACAAGAGUAUAUUGAGGAUUUCUUUCUUUAAAAUCCAUGUCUUUGAUAAGUAGAACUCAAUUUUAUCAUAGUCUUGAAAACAUUUCUAAAACAUCCUAAAAUAUUUUAAAUAAAUUCUAAAUAAAUUAUAAUUUUUUAUAAUAUUCUUAUUAUGCUAAUAUCAAUUUAAAUUUAUAUUUUUUAUUUCAAUAUUUUUAUAAUAAUAAAAUUAAUCUAAAUCAACGAUUUUUUUUUAUUGAAAUAAGUAAAAAGAUAUAAAAUUCUUCUUUAUAUUUUUUAUUAAUUAUUAUUUAAAAUUAAUAGUUUUUUAUAAAUAAAAUAUAUUAUAAAAAUCUAAUAUAGAUAUUAAUCUCAAUAAUUAACUAUUAAUACUUUAAAAUACUUAAAAAUUCUAAAUCAACUAAGAUAAUUACCUUAAAGAAUUUUUAAGAUUUUAUUUUUGUAAUGUUUUUUAAUAAGAAUUUUUUAAUUUUUUAAUAUUUUUAAAUUAUGAAAAAUACUUAAAUAAUCAAAAAUAUUCUUGAAGCUUAAUAUUUUUAUAAUUAAAUGACUUCAAAUUAUAUUCUUAAUUAAUUUAUCAAUUUAGAUCCAUUAGUAGGAUUUAUAUAAUAUACUUUAAUCCAAUCAUAUUAUUUUUUUUUAAACUUUUGAAUUCUAAAAAUAAGAUAUUUUUAAGUGAUAUUUUAAAUUAGAUGAUUUUUUAAACAAAAUAUAAUGAUUUUAUUAUUACAUUUUUAAAUUUUUUAGAAUACAAAAAAAUAAAUAAAUUAAAAGGUCUAUGUCUUAUAAAUAAAUCAUUACAUAAAAUCUUGUCAAAAAAUUUACAAGAGAAGAUAAAAAAAAUUAUGUAACUUGUGUAUUUUAAUUUUGAAAAGUUAUAAAAUAAAAUGGCUUUAUUUUUUCAACAAUUAAUUGGAAAUCAAGAAAAUUUAAUGGAUGUCUAUAUUAAGAUCUUUUAUGAAAGAAAUUCCAUAAUUUUUAUCAUUUCAAAUUAUAAACAUGUAAAUAGCACGUAAUUGCUUUAAGGCCAAGGUUAUUAAAGAUUUUAUAAUUAAGAUAUGCAAGUAAUAACUAUAAAAAAAAAUAUUAGUAGUAUAUUAAAGACAUCUUAAAAAGAAUACAGAGCUGAAAAUAUAACUUAAUUUUAUUUAAAUUCUUAUUUUUAAUUUUUCUUUUAUAAAAUAAUAUUAUUUUUUAUUCUUUUCAAUCACAUUCUUUAACUUUGGUUAAUUUUCUUCUAUAAAGAAAGAAAUCUAUAAUUAUUUAUUGAAUGUUUCUUGAGAUAAUAAUUUCAUUAAAUUUAGUCCUUAAAACAAUUUAAAAUGGUACAAAUUUUUUUUAUUUCGUACACAAUAGGAUGAAUUAAGUCAUUAUUUUAAUUUUCAAUUAUGUAUAAGUUAAUAAUAUUAUUCUUAAAAAUUGAAUAGCUAAUAUCUUUAAAGAAAUUGGAUUUGUUGAAUUACACAAGCUUGCAAUAACUACCAAUUGGGAUUGGCCAAUUUAUAAAUUUGACAACUUUAGAAUUAUAAGGAUGCAAAAGCUUGCAAUAUUUACUUAUUAAGAUUAGUUAAUUGGUACAUUUGAUAACCUUAGAUUUGACAUUUUAUAUAAGACUGCUACAAUUAUUGAUUGAAAUUGGCCAACUGAUGAAUUUGAUAAACUUAAAAUUAUGAGGAUAUAAAAGCUUACAACAAAUAUUAAUUGAAAUUGAGAAAUUAGUGAGUUUGACAACCUUAGAUUUGUCAAAAUGUGAAAGCUUGUAACAACUAUCAGUUGAGAUUGGCUAACUUGUGAAUUUAACUACUUUAGAUUUAUUGGAUGUAAAAACUUGUAACAACUACUAAUUAAGAUUGACAAGUUGGUAAAUUUAACAAUCAUAUAUACUACUUAUAUCAAUAAACUUAAGUUGAACAUAUCAAUUUAACUUUUUAAUUUUAUUUUCUAUCUUUAAAUAUUUAUAGCUUAUUUAAUUUAAUUUAAAUUUAUAUAUUUUUAAUUUAUUAAAAAAAAAUAUUUCUAAAAAUAUUUUUUUAUUGAAUAAAAAUCAAUUGAAUAGAUUAUAAGUAGUUUUUGGAGUGUGUAAUUAUUUAAUUGUAUUUUUUUAAUUCAAAUAGAUAUUUUUUUUUAAUCAUAAAUUAUAUCUUUCAAUUCAUACCACCAAGUACAAAGAACUUUUAAUUGAAGCUAUGUUGUAAUUUGAGUUGAAGAAUGAAUUUUACACUCACAUCUUGGCAUUAUCAAAAUAUAUAAGUUUGCAAUGGUUAUCAAUUGACAAUGGCUAAUUUAUAAAUUUUUAUUUUUUUCUUGGUUUGAAUAUAUUUAAUUAAUAUUUGAUAUUAAUUAUUACUAUUAUAUUAUAAAAGAAAUAAAUUAAAAUCUUAAGUAAACUUGUAAUCAAUUAAUAUUCUAAUACAAAAGGAUUUAAUUGAAUAUUAAACUCUUUUUUAGAAUAAAAUUAUAAUAUAACAAUAUGUUUUAAAAGAGUCGAAUUAAAAAUAUUAUAGAAAAUUACUUUAAAAACAUAAGUAAAAAUCAAGGAGGUUCUAAAAAUAAUUUAAUUCUAAUUUUUUAUUAUUUAAAAAAAAUUCUAGUUAUUUCAUAGUAUCAUAAAUAAGAUAAAAAAGUAAAUUAGUAAAAAUAAUAUUAUAGUUAUUUUUAGAUAAAAUUAAAAAAUAUAUUUUAUCAAAAAUUACCUAAAAAAAAUUUAGAUUGAUAUUUUAAAAGAAUCAAUCAUGAAUUAGAAUUGAAACCAAAUCCUAAAGCAUAAAAUUGUAAACAUAUGGAAAAUAUAAGAUUUUUUUUAAUGACUUUGUAAGAACUUUGCAAAGUUAAGAUUUUUUUAGGUGGUUUUUUUUAAAUAAAAAAGUGGAAUUUUUUUUUAGGUUUUAUAGAAAAUCUUUUAUUAAAAAUUAUUGAUUUUUAAAAAAAAAAUUAUUAAAAUUUUUUAUAAAAUAAAAAUUGAUCUAAAAAUUAAAUAAAAGAUUAUUAAAUUUUAAGUUGAUUAUGGUCUUAGAAAUUGGAUUUUGAAGAUUAGUAAGAGAUUCUAUGAUUUUGAAAAUUUUGCUCAUUAGAUUGAAAUGGAUUUUUUGUAUGUUGUUAUUAGACUUAUUUUCUAAUAUUUUUUUAAAUUAUUAGAAAAAAUAAAAAAUACAAAAGAAAGUUAUUAAUGUUAGAAGAUUGACAUCAAGAUUGAAGAAGGAUGACAAUCAACAAUCUUAAAUAAAUUUCUAGUAGAUUAGAAGCCUUUUUUUUCCAAAGUAGAAGUUUAAUUUUUUAAAAUAUUUUAUGCUUAUUUAUAAAUAGUAGAUUGAGGAGUAUGAUAGGUUUGAAUUAAAAUAAAUAAUUAAAUUAGUAUUUAUUAUGAAUUUAAAUAUGAUAUAUAUUUUAUUUAAAAUUUGAUUAGAAUUUUAUUAAGAAUUGAUAAGAUUUAUUCAAGAUUUGAUUACAAUUUGAUUAGGAUUUUUUAAGAUUUGAUUAAAAUUUGGAUAGGAUUUAAUUAGAAUUUAUAAGAAUUUGAUUAAGAUUUUUUAAGAUUUACUUAAAAUGUAUGAAGAUUUUAUUAGGAUUUUUUAAAACUGAUUAGGAUUUAGUUAAGAUUUCUUGAAGGUCUUUUAUGUUUUAAUGAUGAUUUCUUAAUAAAAAAUUUAAGAUUUGAUUAUAGUUAUUAAGGAUUAUUUAAGAUUUAUUUGAAAUUAAUUAGAAUGUAAUAAGGUAUUUUAAGUAUUUUUCUAAAAUUGAUAAAGUAUACUUAAUAUAAUUAGAAGAUUAUUUAAAUUAUUUAGUACUAAUAAAGCUUAGAUUACUUUUAAUACUAGCUUUGCAAUGUUGGUUGUGGAUAUAGUGACAAUUGAGAGAAUGGUAGAGCUCUAUUAAUUGUAGUACUAUUAUUGACAUCUUUUACAUGGAUGAUUAAUGGAGGAAAGAAGUCAACAAUCUUUGGCAUCUUUGAGCAAUUUGAAAUAUAUAUUGUUAUAUUAAAGAACGUGGUGAAGAAGCUAUAAUUAUAAUAUUUGCACUUAAAUUUUUUUAACUUGAAUUAAUUAUCUAUAUAUUUAUGAUCAAAAUGCUGUCAAUAGGCAUUCUUCUUAUACCUAACCCUCUUUGAGUUUUUCAACAUCAUUCCUAAAAAAUUAAAUGAUUAUUGCAAUAGGUAAGAUAUGUCAAAUGACAACAAACAAGUGCAAUAAAUUUAGGAUUCUUAUUCAACUUCCUAAAAUAUCCAAAAUUUAUAAAAAAAAAACUUUAUAAAUUAAUCUCAAAUAAAUAUAUAUAUAUAUAUAUAUAUAUAUAUAUAGUUUUAAAAUAUUUUUAUUUUGCCACUUUAAUCAAAAUAAUAUAUAUAUAUAUAUAUAUAUAUAUAUAUAAUUUAAAAUACAACAACUAAAUUAGUUUUGAUUGUAUAAAAUUCUUUUAAGUUGUUUUUUUUAUUUGUCUUGCAAACCAAGUUAAACAUAACCACAAGUUAAAUAAUAAUUAAAUUAUUCUAUUUAAUCAUUUAUUUAUAUAUAAAAUUCAGAAUUAAAAAUAGAUAUUUUAUUUCAAAAUUUUAAAUAGCAAUAUUAAAAAGGUAGAUAUAGAAUAACUAUCUUACUUAUUCACUGAAUAUUCAUAAUGCAAGAAUUUUUGCUAUUGAUUAUACUUAAAGCUUAUCAUUGCUGAAUCAAUUUGUAUAGCAACAUUCUAAUUUCAUAACUUGUGGUUUGCAGAUUUGAUGGUAUAUGUCACGCAUGGUUCAUGCAUGACGUGAAAAUGUCUUCUUCAAUGUCUGGAAAAUCAAACUUUGUAAUGUUGGGUCAUUGAAUUGGAAGAUGUGAUCUAUAAUGACUCAGUGAAUUGAGUUCAUUAAAUUCAAAAAAAUUGUUGUGUGUUAUUUGUUCUAUGAUUUUUUCACAGACAUUUGCAAUGAAAAGAUUUGAACUAAAAGAAUUGUAUGCAAAGAGUUCAGCUUAGAAUCCACAUGUUGCAUCAAGUUUUAAUUUUGAUAAAAUCUACAGAUGAAUGAUUUGAAAAAUACAGAACAAUGCAUGUGUAUGGUUUAUAAGUUUUUUAAAAGGAAAAUUUUCAAUUAUAUCCUUGAAAUAUGUAGAAAUAACAAGAAUAUCCUUAUAUUCUUGAUAAUUAUACAUGUAUCCUUGAGUUUUCUAAAAAUUUCAAAAAUAUCCUUGGACUUAAUAUCUUAUCAAAAUAUUCCAGCUUUAAUCCAUUUAGAGAUCCAAUCUAUGCACCAUAAAAUAUAUAGUAUAGAACUUCUAGGAAUAGGUCCUACAUCCCUCCGUUUAUAUUAAAACUUUGAGCAAAGUUACAUGAUUAUGAAUUCAUUGUUCAAAAUCCAUUGUCACUCAUCUAGAAGAAAGUUGCAUGAAGAGGCCUUUACAAUCACCAUGCUUGAGAUCUCAUGAAAAAUUCUAACAUAUGUAAUGCUACUUGUAGCUUGUAGUGACUACAUUGAGAUAUGCAUCAUUUAAUUGUUAGUCAGACAAAUACUUCAUUUGAAAUUAUAAUUUUUUGAUUUCAUUUAAAGUUCAAAUUGAUCUUAUUGAACAAAACACAACAUACACUUGCAGCAUACAUCUAGUUCAAAUAAAACUAGUGAUAUUAUUGACUUGAGGUAUGAUUUUAUACAAUUGAUUGUAUUCUAUCAUAACAUAGUUGUUAUUAGAUAUAUAUUGGUAGAAAUUUUCACUUUGUGUUCUAGUAUCCUUCUUCUUUGUUGUAAUAACAACCCAAUUUUUGUUUUUGCUUCUUUGUAAGAAGAUAUAAUGAUUCUACCUUGAUAUAUUUGUAAGAAGUUUAUAUGUGUUGUUGUUUUCCUCGAGACAUGCACACAUGAAGACAUACACUCUGGUGUUUCUUUUUGAAUAAAUAUGCUAGAUGAACUAACUUGGAUUGAAUUCCUUCUUGGAGUACUAAAGCAUGUCAAUGUAGAUCUUUACACUGAGAUCAAGCCUAAUGCAUCAACAACUAUGUUAUGAGUGGAUUUAGAUUGCAACUUAUAAGUGGGUCAUCAUUUGUGUUAAGAAUAUUAAAAGUAGAUUUGAAGAGCCUUGGUUUGCAUCAAAUCCUUCAAUUCAUUUGGAUUGAAAUGGAAUUUAGUUUCUGACUAAUCUCUAAGUGUGUUAUUAGAGUAGCUUAUAAAUCGGCUAUUUUAUGAAAUGAGAUUAAAACGGGUGUAAAGAGAUAAGUAUCUUUACAGUGAGAGGGUUGAUUCUUCAGUACUUAAUUGGCUUCAAUUAAUAUUACUAUAUGCCAAAACAUGAAAUUAAGAUUGGAUUUUUUUUAUUCUAAUAUAAGAAGAAAAAGCCUCUUUUUUCAUUAGAAUAAAAAAAAAUCCAAUCUUUUUCUUUUUUUUCUUUAUUUCUUUUUCUUUUGUAAAAGCAUGUUUAUGGUACUACAUUUGUAUAUAUAUUAUGAGGCUUAGAAGUGUUAUAUAUACAUAUAUAUAUAUAUACAUAUAGAUAUAAUUUACACAAAUUAUAAAACACACCGUGUACUAAAGGUUGAAAAUAGUUAUUAAUUAAAUCUGAGCUGCAAAGCACUAUAUUGGUAUUUUUAAUAGCAUUUAUGAUAAACAUAUAUUAUUAAUUUUCCGGAAUUUAUUUUUAGAAUACAGUUACAUUUGAACUUUCAAUAGUAAUAAUGAAAGUACAUAUUUACACGUACUUUCAUAAAUUUUAAGAAAUAAUAAAUACUUGUAAUUUUUUUUUUAUUUCAAAUCAAAAAUCGUACCUGUUUCUUGUACCAUGUAGCCAGAUGGAGCCUAAACGCCACUUAUAGAUUAAAGCAAACGUCAUACAACAGAAGUAAAAACAACAUGAAUAUAUAAUAGCAAAAAAAUUAUUAUUUGAGACCAUUAAUAUAGAUUUAAGUAUUGCACAAAAUUAUGGUAACUCGCAAUUUUGUGGUGGUCUGACUUCUCAAGGUUUUUUUUGAAAAUAAUUUAGCACCAUUACUGCUUAUUGAAAAUAAUUACGAAUAAUAAUAUCGAAGUACAAUACUUUAGUAAGUAUAAUUUAACAACAAAUAAAAAAGAUUUUUUAUUGAACAUAAAAUCAUACACAUGCAAAGAAACUUAUAUAGAGUACAAUUAUUUUACAAAUAUAUAACCAAUUGUUUCUAAAAUUAAAUACAUUUUUUAAUUUUAAUGCUUUAAUUUUAAUGUAAAAAUAAAAUAAAAUAAAAUAUUAUAUUAUCAACUUGUAAAAUGAUUACAUUGUAAAGGUUUUCUUGCUAUACCUCAAAAAAAAUUAAUGAACAUGGCAGUACACAAUCAAACUUUUAUUGUAAUUAAUAAAAAAUCUUAUGUUCUUUGUUGUAAGUUUAUAAUUUAACAGUAGUCAUUUGAUAAUUAAAAAUAUAUAUAUUUUUUAAAUUUAACUCACAAUGUCUUCAUAAUUUGAUUUAAAAUAUAGCAAUUAAGAAUGAAAUUAAAUAUCAGAUUAAGCAGCAUAUUAGCACUGGAACCAAAUUAGAUCCUUGCAUAUUAAGUGAUUAUGCUAUAUACUCUUGCGUUGACUACAUCUAAAUACUCUUUAGCUAUUUUCAUAUCCUUAGUACAAAUGAGAUGCUUUUUUGGAUAGAUAGGUGGAUGUUGUAUGAAGGAUAGUAGAAUUAGAGCAACAUCAAUUUUAUUGUUCCUUGCUUCCCUCCAAUAUUCAAUCGAUGGUAUUGGGAUGAUGGCUAUUGCAUAAAUUGCUUGUUGAGCUUGAGCAGUAUGAAAAUAAGCAAUGUAAUUGACAAUAGAUUAUUGCAUAAAUAGUACAUUGUUAAUUGUAUGUAUACAUGGAAUUUUAGAUAACUGCCAUCAUUUGCAAGUGCAUGUGCAAUUUUGCAAAUUCACAAUAUUAAAUGACUGCCUCGACAUGCAAUAGAAGAUAGUAUUAGAUGAAAGAAUGAUGAAGUAACCUCGUGCAAAUAUUAGUGACCAUUAAAUCUUCUACUAUACAGUAAUUGAAAAUGGUCGAGUAAUUAUGUUAGCAAUAAUAUGUUACUCAUUGUACCAUGCUAUGAGUUGCCAAUGAAUUGUUUUUAGCAUUGGAAUUAACAAAAAUUUAAAGACUUUACAAUAUUUAGAGUGAUGUGGCCAAAUUGAUUUUUGUCAAAUUGUAACAAUGCCUAAUAUUGUAGUCCAAUGCUCAUCAAAUACUCUAUAGCUUCUUCAAAUAGAGUAUAGAUUUUUAAAAAUUUGAUGUUGAAAUCUGAAAUAGUUGGUACUUAUGUUAUUGCCUAAAGAUAUUAUAUAAGCAUUGUAUUCUUGAAUUAUUUUUACAAGUUGUCUACUAAAUGGUACAUACAAAAUGUGUGUUUGCAUGUUGGAAAUGGAAUGUUGAUUGCAUCAAUAAGACCUUUUUGAUGAUCAAACAAAAAUGUGAACUUCAAAAGUUUGGAGUUUAAUGGACUAGAUGUAAGAAUUGUUGUCUUCAGUUUUUGCAAGAACCACAACCAAUUGUCAUUACUUUUAGCAUUCACAAUGCUAAAUGUAAUAGGAAAUAGUUACCUCUCUACAUUGAUUAUUAUAGCUACAAAAAAUACUCUACAAUAUUUAUAUUUUAGAUAGGUGUUGUCUAUGUUAAUCAUGAAUUGACAAUAUUACAAGCCAUAUAAGCUUACAUUAUAAGUAACAAACAAUUGAUAAAAGUAAUUUUCUUCAUCAACUUUUAAUUUUACAUAACUCUCAAGAUUUGUUGUCUUGAUUUGAUGAUAAUACACUUUUAAGUCAUUAAGUUGUCUUGAUAAGUACAAAUUAGCUCAAAAAUUAUUUUUUCUUUUGUACACCAUCUCAUUAAGUAUGAUAUUGUAAUGCCAUUAUUAUAUCAAAUAUAUUUUAAAAUAUCUACAACUUUGUAUUGUGAAAUCUCUUUCAAUUUGUUCUUUAGUUUGCUUUCUACCCAACUAGUCCUUGCAUAUUGGUUGUCUAAGUGCUUAGCACCAAUGUUUGUGUAUAUUGAGACAUAUGUCCUAAUCUCAAAUUCAUUUAAAAAUAUUGAGUGAAACUGUAAUAUAUGAGGUCUCUAUUUGCAAUUGUCAUUGCAACACUUUACAAUAUAUCUUCUUUGCUUAGAUUUGAUAAUAGAUAUUUUAUGAUGCUUGCUAAUUAUAUUUUGAGCUAUGGCUUGCUUCAAUUCAUUACUACUACUACUACUACUACUACUACUAAAAGUAAUAUCUACAAUAAGAGCACUUGUCAUUUUAAAGUAAAAUUUUUUCUUAGCAAAUUUUUCAAAAGACAAAUCUUUUUAAUAUGAAUGUAUCAAUCAAUAAUGGCUUGAUUGAAAUAGAAACUCUAGAGCAUUUAAUUGCAUGAUGUUGCUUCAAUGUGGAAUUGGCUAAUUUAGCUAUAAGAGUUUCAUCUACAUCUAAGUCAACAUAAGGUUAUAAACUUACCUUGUUAGCUCAAAAUUAUAAAUUAUAAGUAUAUUUUUAUCUAGUUCGACUUGAAAUUUGACAUGAUUUCUUAUAAGGAGUUUGUAAGUAAAUGGUGAAAGCUAGUAUGGGCAUACUACUAGCAAAUAUAUUAAUGAAUUUGAAAAUUCUUCAUCAAAGUUGCUAGAAACUAAGAUUUUAGAUAUGUUGUAGGACUGGGUAUGUGUUAACUUGAUAUAGAAGUGACAGUAGUUGCUCCUUUGAAAGUUAUUUAAUAUUAUGAACCUUAACAAAUUUGUAUGAGCUGAUAAACAGAAACUAGCAAUUCGGAGUAGCUACAUAAUGGAUUGGAGUACAAAAUGGGUUGGGAUAGAAAGAAGAAGCAUAAAUUCACCAAUACUUGUAGUUCUAUGCCAUGACUUCAAUUUUGGACAAUUUAAUUGGGAGCACAAUUGUAUGAAGAGACAUCACAAUUGACUUUAAGCACUAGCAGCAGAUUUUUCAUUUUUCUCUUACUAUUUAGAAUAUUUGUGGAAAAAGUGCAUCAUUGGUGAUAUACAAGAUAAGCACAAGUGACUUUUUCCAAAUUUUUUGUGAGCCAAGAGCAACAAUUUUUGAGUCAAGAGCAAUGCUCUUUGUACUAAUGGACGAAACACGUGCAAUAGCUGCAUCCCUAAGAUAACCUCGUUUUUUUUUAAGCCAGUUACAAAUGAAAUUAGAGAACUUGCUAUUGAAAAUCAAAAUCGCAUCUUUUGUUUAUAAUGAAAAACAAUAGGCAAAGGAAUCACGAAGAAAGUAUGAAUCAUGUAAGAAUGAGGGCCUGAGCAAACAAUUCACGGAACAUGCCCUAAUUGAAUAAUGCAAGAAUGAUGUGUGACAUGAGUAUACACACACAUUAACAAAAACAAUUUACAGAAUAAAAUAAAAAGAAAGUCAAAAGAACAAAAUCUGCAACAGAAUAUUUACAAUAAGCACAAUAUUUAAUACUUUAAUCUCUCCUUUUACAAAUAAUCUCUGUUGCCCAAUAAUCAUCCUUAUUACAAAUUGAAAUUCUUGUAUACAGUGAACAAUAACAAUAGACAUGUAGAUAAUCCAAACAUGAAAUAUCACAAACAAACCAAUUGUUAUUGCUGAAUUUGUAUUCAGCAUCCACAAUAAACCAUCUAAGACUUAAUAUUUCUUUUAAAAUUCUAAUACUUGUCUCAAAUGUGAAAAUGAAUCAAACUCACAAAUUUGAACAAAAAGAUAACAAUUAUUUGAGCAUAUUUUAUUAGGAGAUCUUGCAAUUGGUUAGUAAAAGAAUAGCGCACACAACUGCAAAACAUUCAAAAUUAGAUUCAAGUACAAAAUCACAAAGAACAAAAAUCAAACAAAAAUAGAGAAACUCACUCUAUUCUUGAUCAAGCUCCUUCCAAAUGACCCACACACAUUGCCUGUCUUCAUGCAUACACAAUAGAUGUCGAGAGGAGAAGGAGGCGCACCGAAGAUAUCAAAAGGAGGAGAGGCUGAAUAUAUAGAAGGAAGUAGCCUCUCACUGUUUUGUGUUAUAUUUUCCGAUUUCCUCACUAAAAAUAGAAUGCAAUCAAUUGUAUACAGCCCUACCUUGAGUCAACAGUACCACUGGUUUUGUUUAAACUAGAUACGAAUUGCAAGUGUGUUGUAUUUUGUUCAAUAAGAUCAAUUUGAGCUAAAUUGGAUAUACAAGAAUAGGAGCUAGAUCGAUUACAAGAUUAGGAGCUAGAUCGAUGAAACUUGUGAAUGCUUUUGUUGACCAAAAUGCCGAUUUUUGAAUGUUGCGAUCUUCAUUGCGAAAUUAGGGCUGUGACGCAACAUCAGAAGUCUUGCUUAGGGUAUGCUGAGUGACCUCGUAAUUGAAGCCAUGAGGAACUAGCAUCCAAAUUUCUUAAGGAGAGAAGCAUUCUCAGCAAGUUCUUGGUCACCGAAUAUUUGAUUCUGCAUUUAUUGCGACUGCUUACUGCGAACCACACAAGAUUAGUCUAGACUUGUCAUCUCAAUGAUGCCGUUGUGAAAUCAUGCAAACCGCAAGACUUUGAGGUCUGAAUUCCCGCAUUAAGACAGAUUGGAACACUUCAGCAGUGUCAGAAUGAGAGACGUGAGCACGAUUCUCCACAUCAAUCCAUCAAACCACAAAAUUAUUCGCAUCCAACCCCUGACAUUGAUCAGUCAAUUGCUGCGUUGGACGAGGACAACGAAGACUUUGCAGUGCCUUCUUCAAGAGAAAGAGAGUGCAAACGCGUUGAGCAUUCCAUGGGGUGUAAAUCCCCAGAAGGUGCAUAGAAAUAUUCCUAAUUCCGAGCAAUCCGACACAUCCUUUAUUAUCGAACAUACACAACGUGGGUAACUGGCACAAUGACCAGGACUGGCCCUGUGCGUGGUUACGAGUUAUUGAUUGAUUAUUUGCUUGAACUCGAGGUAUCCCCAGCUAAGCACAUUCCGCAAUGUGAAAUUCCUCAACUACAAUCCCAGGUCUUGAUUGAUGAACUUGAUUCAAGGUGAGUCGGUUCAUGUGAGCAACCUCCACACCCUCACAAAGACAGUUAAUGCAGUGCUGUGCACACCAGCUAACAUCCUGGAGGAGGCAUUAAAAUGGAGCUGGAUCUUGCACUGUUUAAGACUCUGCCGAUCAAUACCUGCUGCAGUCGCCACUCUUACGCUUGGGCAUAGUCAGAUCCGCAGUCGCUGUGAUCCAAACGGGUCUCUCUAUAACGACCUAGAGUUGUAGCUGCUGUCGUGCACGAUGAAGUCAGUUCAAGCUAUGGUCGUGUUGCUACUGUUGGCAGCUCUGUUGGAGUGUGUUCAACAUUCAGAGGCAGGUCGAACGAUGCUAACUGUUGGAUCAGAAAAGACUUUGAGCAGCCUGUUGCCUAGCUGCUCGCCUCCUCCUGCCCCAGUGGACGUUCCUUACACUCCCACCACACCUGACACUACCUCUCCCUCCACUCAUGAUACCUACACUCCGACUACUCCGACUACUCCAUCUGAGCCUUCUCCGGUGUAUAGCAGCCCACCUCCCGCUGAUGGAUACUAGCAACCUUGAGCUCUUGCUUCGGCGGUGCACGGCGUGAAAACAAGUGAGUCUCGGUCCUUCAUGUAGAGGGUGAGGUGUUGCACGUAUGUGACAUGGAUAUGAAAUUCUCAGGAUGUUAUAUGUAGUGUAACUGAUCGCCGUUUUGCUCGCGCUUGCAUUAUGGCUAAGGUUGACACAUACGAAUGUAAGCCUCAAACAAAACGUUUCGGUAUGGUGGCUUGCAGGAAUUUUUGCAUCGCACUCGCUUGAUGUGUGACGUGGAAUCUGGUCACCACGACUGGCUUGUAAAAGCACGCCGAAGUUGGAGAAGUUGUUGACGCUGAUCUGGUUUAGUGCAUGGCACCUUUCUUUGUAGAUCCAGAGAGAGUGCCUUCGUUCUAUUCAGAAGGGGUAGCGUACAUUUGUUGCUGGAUUCCUUGUAGGCUAAAGUAAGAUUUUAUUUAAUAUUUGAGCUCAGAAGUAGUAUCUCACAAAAUGCAUACAUCGUUUAGAUCCACUUGUCAUUCAUGUCAAUUUUUCGUGUUUCUAUCACAAUCAUUUCAUAAAGUAAAAUUUGGAGCUCUGUCCCUGUUAUCAUAGAAAUGUUUAGCAUGAUAAAUGAAAUUUCUACCAAGAAAUCACCAAGACCAAUCAAAUCACCAUUAUCCUGGAAAGAGUUCACUUUCUCCGAUCUCAGGAAGUAAUCACGACCAGCUCAUGGACAAAAGCAACUUGCGAGACUCCAGUUUUGAUUGAAGAAUUGAAGACAACAGCAUAGCUCUUGUAUUUGAUAUUGGUAGACAGCGUAUUUGAUAUUGGUAGACACUCUCAGAACCCUAGUUUGGUUGCAUCAUCUAAAUGAACUAUUCAAGCUGCCCGUUUUCCCACUUCAGAAUCCUAGCAGGACUCAAGCUCUAAUACAAUAUCGUAGCGCAUUUAGUAAUUGUAUAUUGUGCAAAUCAAACAGUUCCUACACACGUACACCCACCCUUGAUUAGGAUUAAAUUAAUCAAAGCGAAGCUUCUCAACACCACCUCACCCCACCAUCCACAGGCUGAGAAGCACAUUCUUGACUGUCAUGUCAUGAUUCCAAUUCAUUCAGGUCUUGAAAGACUGCGUGGCCUCCUCCGCUUCCCCUGUAGCCUCUCCCUCGGGCUCUAUCGCCUUGCAAGGCUCUAUGGUGGUCUUGGUGAGCGAACCGGAUUGACGCCUGCUGAAACCCUUCGGUUGGUGACAGCGUUGCAUCUGGCUACCUGGAGCGGAGCACUGCAAACACUGACAGGUUUAGGGGGUUUCACUGUCGAGAGGAAAUAGAGGUCCUCCGUGGAGAGCAUUUCACUACAGGUUUGGGGCCGUCUGCGAGGACUUCUUUACGCCUGCUGCAUUGCUACCAAGACAGGGCCUCCCUCUUGUGCGGUAAAUCACCCGAUAGUUGCACAAGAAAAGAUCAUUUGUACGCCGGCCCGUCCUAACCUCGGCACGCAUGUAGCUAUAAUAAAGCUUAGUACCGUUGAUCCAAGCAUGACCAAAACCUGCCACGAGCUUCGUUUUCACUGUCUAGGCAGCCGCCCAGUUCUCUCUGCAGUGCACUCAUUCACAAGGCGUUGUCGCAUAUGAAUCCGACUCUCUUUCGGAGUGAAGGAAACAGUCACUAACAUAAUACCGAAACAGCGAGCUUUGGGGAUGUGCACCAGCCAGGCCAUAUUCUCAGAAACGAGAAUGCAUGUUCACAGCUUGGCCAACGUAGACGGCGAUGCACGGUCCCCAGUCAUUAAGUCCAUGGUGGGUCGCAGUGUGGGGGUGACGACCAUAAUGGCGCUGCCACGCGCAGAUUACAAGUCGCCGGCCCCCACAGGCAAGCAGGCAGGCCAGGCAAAGCAAACCUGGUUUUGUGGAUUGGGACCUGGUACUCAUGCACUGGAAUGGAAAUGAAAUGGCAAUGAAGUAGAAAUGAGAAAAGGACACUCACUCACUCACUCUCUCAUCCAACUGGGCAGUGCCGAGGUAGGCUGUCCCUCCCUCUUUCCUCUGCUUCCCAGAUAUUUUCUGCUGGCUCGAACAGUCUUGCGUCUGGAAUUUUUUUUAAAAGAGAAUAUAUUUAUCUACAGCUACAAUAAAACCUUAUUUCGAUGAAUAAAAUUGAAAAUAUUAUAAAAAAUUUAACCAAAAUUAGAAUCUAAGCCUAGUCGGAUCCGGCCAAAGCAGCCGCGAAACUCAUAUGAACCAUUCGGCAGAGUUGAAGCAAACAAGUAGGGUAGCUUAUAACCACUCGACCUAAGACCGAGGUUCUCCGGUCUGAUGCAGGCAGUACUAUUGUUUCCUCGGACUUAGAUGGGUAUUCGUACAAUACUCCGAUAAUACUCAAUCGAAAAAAAAAGUAAAAAAUAACAGUAAAGAUGAAAGCAUUGGUAUGCAAGCUCCGCAAAGUCACCACUACCCACAAGCGCCGCAAGGCACCGUCACAGCGUUGUUGCACCACCCCCUGCAUUGCAUGGACUGUAGCUCCGCACCACGCAGCGUACUUCUUGAUCACCAUGCGCCGCGCCCGAUGCUCGCACCCCCACCAAGUCAAAGCAUCGUCUGUCGGCCCAAUUAUUACGUGAUGAAUUAUGAAGUCUGCUCACUGCAUGCUGCGCCGACCAUUACAAGCAACGCUUAUCUACCACAUAGGUUCUGUGCUCUUGCCACUCCACCAGUCGAGGUGCUCUCUGCUCAGUGACUAAGUGCAGGAGUAUUUUGGACCAGUUGCAACGGGAGUGUAAACGCUGUGGUUCGAGCCGACGAAAGUUCAACAGCGUGUAUACGGUGCGAAUGUGUGUAGGGAGUGGUCGGCGCAAUUGCGAAAUGGUGCUUGCCGCGCGUCGAUUUAGAGCAACUAUAAAUUGAGUUGGGUUUUCACCGGGCUACAGAGGGAUUUGUGCUCGGCUACGGAUUCAAUUUUGCAGUCAGUGCAGCGUACGCUGUAGUUAAGGGUUUUGAUAAAACAUCUAUUGAGUACGGAUACUCGCACAAUGAUCAUUAACUCCGUUCAAGAUACAGUAAGUAGACUUUCGGCUCGCGGAGCUGACUACCAGAGAAACUUUUAAAUGUAGACUUGAUACAUUUUAAUAAAGGCCAGUGAAAGCAGUGACAUAGACAGAGAGGUACAAUGAAUCAUAUGUUGCAGCUUCAUUAUAAAUUGCGAAAUAUCAUGAGGUUACACGCCUCCGUAAUUGGAGAGAAGGCAGGAGGAAACCAACGCUGCACUACACUGCAGUCUAUCAACCCCGGCACCACAGGAACUGUGAGAAAAUUACGGGGUCAACAAGCCUAUCCACUUCCCUCAAGACGUCCACCUUAUUCCUCACUGCCUGGGUCAAAACCCUUACACACACUGCCACUGCACGUAACACCCUGGCAAGAACAAACAAAUCCGGAAUAAUUUAUCUCCAUGCUCGCAGCACCUUCAUGGCAAAGGUCGCCAGCUCCCCGCACCAUUUAAUAUGAAAAAAACAUCUCCAAGGGACGAAUGCCAGUGCCUCAUACCAACUCAGCUAUUAUGAAUCCUCUUGAAAAAGGCGCACAGUUGAUAACCUGUUACAUGAGUCAAGAAGACCAUCAGAGAUGGUUAAACGAUCAAGAAAAAAGGACAAUUCCUUGCUCAAUCAAUCGAAUCUCAAUUCAAUAAAAAUCAUGCAUCAGUUCAGGUUGCGAAAUUGGCUCGUACCUCUUACGACAUUGGCAUCUACUCACAAUCACGGACCUCAGUAGCCGCCUGCAGGUGGGCUUCCAGAGGGAGAACCUCCAGAGGGAGAGCCCCCAGAGGGAGUUGGGCUAUAUGGGGGGCUAGAGUAAGAAGGAGAUGAUGGAGUGGUAGGAGAUGAACCAGACGGGGUAGGGCUGUAAGGGGGGCUAGAGUAAGUAGGCGACGACGGGGUAGGAGGAGACGGACCAGAUGGGGUCGGACUGUAUGGGGGACUGGAGUAAGUAGGAGACGAUGGAGUAGAAGGAGAUGGGUCGGAAGGAGUUGGGCUGUAUGGGGGACUCGAGUAAGAUGGAGACGAGGGAGUUGUAGGAGAUGAGCUGGAGGGAGUUGGACUGUAAGGAGGGCUGGAAUAGGUAGGAGAUGACGGAGAAGAACCAGAAGGAGUUGGGCUGUAAGGAGGGCUAGAAUAUGUAGGAGAUGACGGAGAAGGACCUGAAGGAGCAGUAGGAGAUGGACUAGAAGGAGCUGGGCUAUAUGGAGGACUGGAAUAAGUAGGAGAUGAGGGAGUCGUAGGAGAUGAACUGGAAGGAGUCGGGCUGUAUGGAGGACUAGAGUAGGAUGGAGAAGGGGUCACAGGAGACCCACCGGAGGGAGUACCAGGAGAGUAAGGAGGAGAACUGUAGACUGGAGUGGGAGUCACAGGGGAAGGAUCGGAAGCAACUGGGGGAGAAUACGAUGGAGUGUAGGGAGUAGCCGGUGGAUCAGUGGAGGGAGGAGGAGGGCAGAGAGUCAAACUCGGGAUCAAGCUUCCCAGGCCUGAAGACGUGAGAAGCACCCUCGCCUCCGUGUUGACGAUACAAGCGCAGCAGCUUAGAAGAGCUGCGACGAGAAUCAGCUGCGUCGACAUAGCUUGCGACCUGCUCGUCUUCGCCAUGGCGUAAUGAGGAAACGACGGAAGGGCAAACACACUUCGAUGAAGCUGGACACUUGCUCUGAUCGUAAAAUCGGGAGCUUAGGAGGUGGUACAUAUAGCUGAGAGAGUGGGAGAAGUGGGCCGCGGCGAUGGGCUGGGGAACUGAGGGUCCAGGUGUGGGGAAGCGCAGCAGUUAAUGAGGUCAUGAUGAGGAGCCGCAGAGCGAAACCAGAACAGUCAAUGGGCUUGAUCACAGUCCUGCACUUCAGCCCCCCCCCCCACCCCCACUGAUCCACGACACGAUUCCAUCAAGUCCCGGGUCUUCAAUUACGCUGGUGCGGCCAUAUUUUGAAAAUUCGCUCACGUUAAAGUAGUGUCAAGUGCAUUUCCGUAGGAAUGUGGACAUUCUGAGGUGGCUCUUUACUAAGGAACUAGAAGGAGUUGUUUAUGGUUGUUAGUUGCCGAUGUAGCAGUUGAACAGAUUAUCCGACUCCGGGUGGCCACCCCUAAAUCCUACUUGGCACAUAAUAAAAUCGCGCAAGGAAAUAGUUGGUGCGGAAGAAUUGCUGACUCGGCACGGCUCAGAACAAUUUGAGCUCAAUUCAGUAAUGUUUAAAUUGCCUUGGGAAAUCUAAGUCAUUAAUCCUGUAUUUUUUGGAGGUUGUCAUGCAACGUCUUCGUUGAGAUACAAGUCACUACAGCACCCAUUCCCAAGAAACAAAAAUCAAACCUGGCAGGAUCAGUAAGUGAACUUUUAGUGUGCCAGUUGGCGUUUACCAUUUUAUAUCAUUCAUUUUUCCAUACUACAUGAAGUUAAUUUUCUUUACUUUCAUUUCCUCCUUUCGGUUCCCUUUUUCUUAACUUGGUGGGUGAUGUUUUACUACACGAAGAUACCUACAGAAUGGCUGCAGACCUCUACAGCGAUGAGUUCCGUUCCUCUUUGAGCACAUUUUUCAUCUGUAUCAACUUACAUAUCCCGGCAGAAAUUGAACGAUCUCCUGAUAAAGUACCUGGCAGGAGGCUGCAAAUUGUGGUAGAGAAGACUCGCUCAAUAGCGUUACUGGGGUUUUUUAAGCUUUUAAAUCUUCUUUUGUGGACAAUGUUAGGUCCAUUGCAUAAGUUCGGCCCAUACGGUAGUCUGCCAGGCAAACACAGGUUAUUAAGUGAUCAGCUCACAUGAGCCAGCAGUGAUGACGUGUGUCUUGAACUGACAAUCUGAUGUACAGAGAACUAAUUAAUCCGCCUGCUACAACCACCUUCUUGUUCUUAAUGAACGCACUACAUACUGCAGCACCGCAAGUUAGCAGCUGUAUUGCCGCGAGUUGGUUUUCCAUGUGUUCAGAUAUGGUUUUCAUUACCAUGGAUUUUUCACCUUCACCACAUUAAGCUAAUUUAAGCUGAGAUAUUUUUCAUAACUCGGGACUUGGUAGCUCAGAUGUUAACAAUUGCUCGAAAAUGUGCAGAAGUUGAGACAUGAGCCAAAAUUCCUCAACCUAAACUUAUUAAAAAUCAGGUAAAAUCUUUAUAAUUAACCAUUGUAAACAUGAUUAGGGAGGGUGUGGAGAAAUUUGGGUUCCUUCCUGCCAGCUUCCACCUUCAGUAACACAAAAUCCAAAAUGUUUGAAGGUUCUGCAACUUCAAAAAUCUGCAGUGAUGAAUCUUUCCACAGGAGUGGAUCUUGAAAAGCCAUUAUUGGAUUUACUUCUGAUACUAACUAGAUGUAAGAAGCUCUUUAAUUACCCUUUGUCUCCCCCUGUAAUAUGAGAGAUCCAAAUGUGAAACAUCUCACAUGAGUGACACGUCUGCCAUGGAUUGAAUACAGUGGAAUUACAUCACUGUUCCAGAAACUACAACCAAGAUGUUUUUGGUUCUUUAUCUCAUGGCUACAAAUACUUCAUGAGCCUGUCAAACAGGUCUUCCAUCAUGUCAUCAGACAGGCACAUCAAACAACAAUUAGACUCAGAAAUAUUAGGAGUAUGUGAAGAGCAUUCUUGAGUGUAAACAUUGACUUUAAAUCUAUAGAUUACAACUUUAUGAUAAAUCUGGCAGAGUAAAAAUGAGAUAACUACAUUCUGAAGCAAUUGAUUGAAGUAAUUGUCUGCAGCAAUUGCCUCUGUACAUCACUUUUGAAUAGCAUGCUUAAGCUUACUAAUGAAUGAGGUAUGUGCCUCAUGUAAACUUCAUGAAUAAUUGAGAGAACCUACCCACAAGAAAACUUCGAAUUAAGAUCGGCUCUCUGAUUCCUACAACCAACCUUCUAAACUGAAUUCCAAUGCAUUGCAGCAGCUCAUCACAAUACUGUCCAUCAUUUCAGCAUCACAUAUAGAUUUUCUUGCAUUCUACCACUCCUGUCAAGCUUCGACAGAAUGGACAAAUUAAUGUACACAAUGUGAUCCGGAUGUUAACUCCUAACUCUGUAUUCACUCUUGGAACAUAAAGCGAAUUCUUAGGCAUCCUUUGAAAACAAUCUAGGCACAUAGUAUGGCCGCAUGAUUGCUGCAGUACUGGAGGACUCUCUACAGUACUUUGAUCUAAAUGCACACAGCAGACAUAUAUGGAGUGAAAGUUGUAUGCAUCAUCUAGCUCCCACUCCUGAACCAGCUCAGAAAAUUUAAGCAUCAGAUCCCACACAGGCAACCAAUAUUACUCAAGGUCACAUCAAGACUUGGACAAUACAAAAACAAAACAAGCAAGAUUGAGGUUACAUGUACUACUUCUGCAUCCAAGAAGAUGAUGAAAAUUUGAAAAAGGACAUGACAACAUAAACACAGCAAUGGCCUAACCUGUACCUUGGAGGAUAUGCCCAGCAGAACGAGAAGUGCCAUGGAGCCAGCUGAAACAACGGCGUGUAAAGCACUUUGAAAUCGAUGAUUUAAAAGGUACUCCCUCUUGAAUUUUUCGCAGGUAGAUUGUAGCUGCUGGUGCAUAUCGAAAUAGGUUUUGUAAGGAGAAUUUCCACCUCGUUUAUUCCAGAGGAGACUAGCCAUCAUUCUAUUUACGUUAGUCCUCUGUAUGUGCUGAUUGCCAUAAUUAGGAAAUUUGGAUUUCACAUAAUCGUGCUCGGCAAUAUAAGAAGAAACGAAGGAUUUCCCAUAUUCAACAGCCACGUUAAGCCCUUUGGUCUUAUGAAGAUGAUGAAACUUUAGUUCACGCAAUUCAAACUCCAAUGAAGAUGCCUGGAAAAAUUCCAGCACAGAAGUUAACCCACCGAGAAACUAGUAAAUGAAGACCUAUUCAACUCAACCCUAAAGAAAAGAGAAUGAAGACCUUUCACUUGAGCUAGACCUAUCCGGGUAUAAUAGCACUAGAAAGGAUAUCCUUGCAGCGUACCCUGGCAUCCAAUUUGAGUCGAUUCGCAUCACACCAAUCCAAUGCAGGGUCUACAUUCAUCUCACGAAGUUGCUUCAAAUACUGCCACAUGUCGGACACGGGAGCGUGCAACGCUGCAGCAACACCCAAUUCUAUUUGAGCCUCCAUCACGAAGACAUCGCAAAAACCGAGAUCCUCCGCUCGAUAGAAAUGAUCGCAUAUGAGCUGAUUGAUCAAGUUGCUAUCGAAUUCAACAUUUACGUACGCCUUCAUAAUGUCCCGUGCGAAGACAUUGUUCAGUGAUUCGUUCCAUCGCUUCAGGGGUAUGUCGAUACGUCUUCGACUUGUCUUAUGAAUUUCUUCGACAUACUGUGAAUUAUAAAGUGUCAGGGAUCUCUACAUUCAAAUGUGAAUGCAGAGAGAGGAGAGACAAUUGGCUAUCCAUUCCCAAAAAGUCAAAGAGAACAAUUACCUGGCUUGUUAGACCAACUUCAGUCAAUUUUCGUCCAAGGUUUUGGAAUAAUUCUUUGCCAAAUUCAGAGAAGUCAUCCUCAUUCAACAUUGCAAGCCAUCCUGCAGCUGCAUUCGCCUCCUCUAGUGCUCUUUCGAUCACACCUUGUCUCAGUUUUAGGAAAUAGGAAUUGCGCAGAAAAACUACUUGAUCAAUUGCGUGUCGAAUGGGGGUCAAAUCCAUCUUGUCGACUUGGAUCAGAAAGCAGAUAGUUAUGUCAAGGAUCUCGGGUCACCUCAAGAACUCCCUGAUGCUUUUGCAAUCCACAAAGCAACAAAGCUCCACUUGACCAUCUUCCAAAUCCUGUCAAAUGGAAGGAAACUUCGGGUACACACGCGCGCGCCCAACUGAACUUCGACAGAAGCAGAAACCAAUAUUUAAAAUGACACGCCCUUCAAUCGAAAAAUUCAACGCUAAGCAAAGAAAAUCAGUAUAUGAAGAAAGUUGCCUUACAACCCAACGCGGAACUAGGACAUCGCAGUGGCGCCUCACAUUUGAAACUCCUCAGGCUCAUUGGAGAUUCUCAGGUGCAUCGAAAGUCAUGGAUCCAGUACUCUCCACUGCUUCCUGGGACUCCUACUUCCUAGCACGAACUCUGCCUCUACAACUUUAAUAUUAACAACGACGACGCUCCUCGCACACAAACCUCCACCACGAUUCAAAAAGGAUGCCUAGAUCUGAAAUCCACCACCCCCACAACGAUGCAUCGGCAGAAACAAUCGUCUCCGCUACUCCCGAGGUGGAAGAUUGUUGCGACGAGCCAAAAUCGAAGCAAAUGCUUAGCAGCCUCCCUUCGUAGGCGACAUCUUCAGCUUCGCCGCGGCCGUUGAUUCAUUGAGAGACUUUUACUCGUGACCGUUUAAUUAUGAAGGAGACGCUGAGUAGCUGCAACUUUUUAAGUCUUCUAGUAGUUGGAAUUGAGAAGCUUGUAUUAAGAUAAAUAAAAGAUGUGAUCUCUCACUUUGUCACUCCAUCAAAGAUUUUUGUUGCAAAAUUAAUGAUAAAAUGAACAAAAACCUUCAAAUCCUCGAACUUGUGUGAAUUAGUUUUGAUGAUAUGCACAGAAAUGAGUUAAGUGGAGAAUGGAUCAUUUUUAUAUGGAUUUUUCAGUUAUCACCAUGAAGUGUUAAAGAUUUAAUUUUUUAAAUGUACUGAUGAUAUAAGUUUAUUUGAUAAAAAAAAAUCUUAGAAAUACAACGAGUUAAAACAAUUUGAGAUUGUUCUAAACUUUACUUGUAGUCUUAAAAUCAAUGGAUAAAAUUUCAUGAGAUGUGUAUUUGAUUUCUUAUAAGACCAGUGAAUAUAAUGAGAAACAUAAACUUGGUGUUUUUGACAAAAUAAUUUGCUCAUACAUCUGUAAGAACUUAUAAUCAAAUUACACAUUUAAGAAAUGUUUGUACUUUUCUUUGAAAAUAAAACAAUAGUAAGACUUCUUGUAACAUCUUAAGAUUGAUUUAGAAGGUUAUAGCAUCAAAGAAAAACACAACGUGAUAUGUUGAAUGUAAAGUGAUGCACUAAUUUAAAUAACAAAAAAAUAAAUGAUCCAUUAUACAAGCUUUUACGAAGUCUAUUGUAUGUUUUAUAAAUGUUGCAACAAGAAAUCGUGAUUAAUUAUUUUAGGAGUCAGGUUUUUAUCAUAACCAAUAUUAUUUGCUUUUAUCAAACAACUUUAAAACAUUUAGACUUAUGUUUUCUCAUCAGAUUAAACCUUUAACCAGCCACAAUAUUAAAUGCCACAUUUAGUCUGUUGAUUUAGGGAUGAUGUGUUAGGAUUUUUCAAAGAAUACAAAACACUUAAGACUAAACAAAUGAAAAAUUCACAUUAAAGAUAUCAUUAAAAGGUAGAAAACAAAGGCAUGUGAAAAGUGGGAAGGCAAUUUUGAGUACCUCACUACAUCUUCACAUAUUGAUUUUAUCCAUCUAGAAUACCAUUUUGGGUUUUUCCUAAUCCGUAGCUUGCUCGCUAUUCAUGGCUAUAGAUAGGUAGGGGACUCAACAAAACCUAGAUUAAUAUAAAUAAUUUGAGAGUAUAAUUUAGGGAAUGGUUAAAUUGACCCAAGUAUUUAUUAAAUUUACCACCACCAGAUCCGCAUUAAUAAAAAAACUAAUGAAAAAAAUGGUUUGAUCCUUAACCAAUGAUGAUGGGUGGAUUGAUUUAGUAAAUGCCUUGAUCAAUUUAACAAUUCCCAUAAUUUUAAGUCAUCCAUUGGAAAGGCUAAGGCUGGUCCUUAUUGGCUAAUAAUUUUGGAAGGUGUAGACAUGUCUCUAGUUCAUAUCCGGUGACAUGCAUGGUAUACUAAUUAUAUAAUUAUAUAACUAUACUUAUAUUUUGACCCCGCUUCUCAGUAUUUAAGCGCUUCUUCCUAACACUUCUCCAUAAUACUUUGUCUUAACCCUCCCAGGCUCUCUUGCCAAGGCCUCCUUGGCUUCUGCUCUCCUGGCCCUUAAAUUCCAAAUUUUGCAGAUAAUUGGAAUGGAAAAACCCAUUAAAAAAAUGGUUAAAAUUGCCCAAAAUUCAUUCAUGAAUUAUCAUCCAUUAAAUACAAUAGUGAAGCUCAGCACCUAAUCCCCUGCGGCAGGAGGAAGGUUGCAACUAGAAGUCCCGUUGAGUCAUUUGGUGUGAAUAGGUCGAUUCUGGAGUGUGUUUUUAGGGUUUAGUGAGUGAUUCUGGUAGAUGUAUUCACUUUCGUAGCUAUCAGCACACAGUUCCCAGCUGUGUAGAUCUCGUCUUGGGUUUGUGAAUCAAAGCUCGAGAUCCGUUGUUCAUGCUGCAACCUAAGGAUUGGAGUUGUCGUUCGAGUCUCGAACUGUAGCGAUACUUGUUUGGGGUGAAGAUUGCGCUUCCCCUGGACGGAGAUGAGUGAUUCAACCACUGGCAGCAAGGAGGUGGAGGAUGAGUGGACAGUCGUUCGAGGUCGCAAGAAGCGGCAGCAUACGAAACGAUCCUCGAGCAGAAACGCAGACGAUGGGCACCUGUCUUGUUGCCGCGGGCACGGGCCGGACUUAGACCUAAGCUCCGGGAAAGCUGUUGCAGAACAGAAACUGCGGGAGAAGUUUGCCAGUUCCAGGGAACGAGUGCGGAGUUCUGCGUUUUUCAAAAACUUAGUGGAGCAGAUGGAACGCUUGCAAAUUCUCGAAACGUUGCUGGCGAAUGGGAGAAGAGCUGGCCACAAAGCGUGUGAAUCCCACCUCUCAGACGGUACUUGUUCUUAUCUCACCUCCAUCCCUUCUUGUUGCGCACUACAGGAUCUGUGUUGUAUUGCACAUCCGGGGAUUGAAAUUUGGGGUUUUUGUGGACACCUCAUGGAUUUUUGAAUUUGGCUUGUAGGGAGGUCGACAACGGAAAGCUUAGAGCAGAAGGAAAUUGAAAUUUUUACGUUGGAGGUAACGCCUGCAACAAAAUCAUCAUCUCUUGUUGAGGUGGUUGUUCUCGGCGUGGGGAGCUUGCUUGACAGUGAGGUGUCACGCUGUCAAAUGUCCCUCGCGCUUCUCUUGAAGGACCGUUUCUCUUGCAUUGGCAAUAUACUUGCCUAUGACCCGGUGCUGUCGGCUAUGGAGUGCGCGUUUUUGACAAACCUAGGUUGCACCCCGAUUGUGCAAGACGAUAAGGGCAGAAGGCGAGCAGACUCUCCCACACUGUUUUACAUGCCGCAUUGCGGUGCUUCCCUCUAUAACAGUGUCUUGGAGGCGAAUGUGGAGCCAUGGUGCGUCGGGUGGAUCUCCAUCCUUGGCAACAGCUUUCAGAAGUACCAGGAUAGCUGGUCAGUGUUUCCGAAACCCAAGCACGCUAGGCCUGAUUGUUUGCUUGGGCUGCAAGAGCAUGUAACCGAGCAUUCUGUGAACGCUGCGUCGUUUCCCUGCGUAUCAGCUUUCAAUGACAUGAGUUGGCAUCUGUUUCCAGUUGACAAAAUUUUGUGAGGCCAAUACUUUGCAUAUGAUUUUGGCUGAGAUCACUAAUUCCUGCUAAUUUUCGUUGAUCUUCUGUUUUUGUCAUCGUCGAUGCCUGCCCAGUCGUUUCGUUUUACAAUGUAUUUUGCGAUAGUGGAUAGCAAAUUUUUCAUCCAUCUAACUGGUACUAGAAUUUGCCUUCGAUUUUAGACAUGUUGCCUGCUAUUAAUCGACUUCAAGCUAUGAGGUCAAUUUCAGUGUCCGACAGUUCAUUCCAGACGUCGGCAGGUAACAGUCACACAUUGUACUAAUUGCACAUUAGACAUCAGCUUUCCACAAAAGUGUGGGAUAGAGUGGAAUAUCUCAAAAUCUUCCAGAUGAACGUCAACGCAUGGGAUAAUUCUUGUAACAGAACCUGAAUUGUUCAUCAUUCAUUGUUUUAAAUAGUAUUUCUGCUGCAUUGGGAUUGAAGGAACCGUGAUUCAGUAUUACUUUCUAAAUGAGUUAGCUAAGCAGAUGAGUGCAUAACAUACCGUAAAAUCAACCUCGGCAUGCAGCCCUAUUCUACUCCCAUAUCUUGCCGUUCAAUUUGGACGUCGGGCCAAUUAGGUGGCACACUUCAUCUUCGGUCCCGGCAGCAUAACCAUACAACGCUGUUGAGAGAAAACACUAUGUACACUAUGAGCGACAUCCAUGGCUGUGCUCAUGGUGACAGCGGUGCUGUGCAGUGGCAUGGUGGCGCCGGUUAAGAGAAAGCCGUGCCCAGUAUCAAGAAACUCAUCGGUCUCCUCAAUCGCAUCGCCCAUGGCCACAUCAAGAUCCCGUUGCGGCACCUCAUGUAUCGUUUGAAUUCAUCCAGCGAAAAGGUAUACGAAAGGGUUGCAAGCACUGUUGACUGGACUGCCUGUCCUCAGAAUCGUUUUGGCUGUAGUUGUUUACUCUUGAUUGGCAAUACGCAGGCUGCAUUGCAGAAUGACUCGAUCAUAAUCUUCAAGUCACCCUGCUUGAAUAUCACACUCCCUAUUAUACAAAUCUAUGUACGUGAUGCUGCCAAGAAUCGAAAGACUUCUGCCGUAGCGAUCACCUCCGAGGUCUCUCAUUUCUUCGAAGCCCUAGCCUUGUGGAUGCAUCUAAUUGUGGGUACUGCAGCUUUUCAAAAGGAGUCUACCUGGUUACACUGUGAUUCUGUACAGCUCCUUUGUUGUGACACGAAACUUACGAAUGAUCAAACCCAAUCCAAUUCCCAGCCCAACGCACAUACCUAUCCCAAUUCCGAAUCCCAAUUUGAUGCCCCUGGAAAUGCCUUUGUUGUACCAUGUUUCUUCCUGAUCCACCACGUCUGGAAGGUACAAACUACUGUCGAGCGUGAGCAUUUUGCUCACGUAAUCUCCAGCUGCCAACUCCUUCUGACUAUCGGCCUGACUCCUGGACAUGCCGAAGAAAGACUCACCACCCUACCAUCCCCCGAAAUACCUCCCACGUCAGCUUUACACUCUCUUCAAAUUAAGUGGUCUAAAGGCUAUGGAUCAAAUUGGUGAUACGGAUCCACGAAUGGAAACACAAUACAAUAAAGCUAAUCAAGUGAAGGUAGGAAGGGAUUGAGAAGCUCACCUCGUCCAGGAAAUCGUUCGAGACCAUCGCCGUUGCGUACAUUUGGCAACUUUCUUUAUCAUCUUCGUUGUCCUCGGGGAUAGCAUUGAGGGUGCAGAAAGAGGCGGAUCGUCGCUUGACAGUAAGCAUCAAGGUCUGCGUCAAGAUUACAGGCUCACUCUUAAACCUCCCCACUACACAAAUUUCCAUGGCUGUGUUGGUGUUGGGAAAGUUUAUGCACAGGCCGUGCUUGAAGAGCUCAUACUUCGCCUUGACGAAGGCGCAUCCUAGCGAUCCAAUCUCACAAGUGGUGGCCAUGAUCCAUCCCAGAUCAUUCCUCGUGGGUACAGCCGGUGUCGCAGCAGCUGGCCUUGGGGAAUACGCUAGCUUUUCCAGAAUGCCGGAGACGAGAAGUGUGUCUUGAUCCAGGAUUUGAAAGUGAAGCGUGGAGCUCAUGCGGAGGUUGUCUGUGCUGACAUACAUGAAAGCGUCCGCCGUCUCGGAUUCGAUGCGGUUUCGACGGAGGACAAGGGAGACCUCCUCCGAUGGGGGAAUGCGCCCGCCAUUGACCUCCAUGCAGGUGGCGAUUUCCCGUGGGGGAAAGUGUACGUUUAGAACCUCAGGAAGUGUGCAAUCUCCUGUCAGCUGGCAGUUGGUGACGCGGACGUAGAGCAAGCUCGCGUCGAACCAGAAGUCUGCUUGCGCCGCUACAGAUGAUUUGAACGAGAGGUUGUUGCUGCUCUGCGAAAACGCCCACCGGGAACUGGCCAUGAUUUUGUUUACAACUCCAAACGAAAUUCCCCGGAUCGAUUCUGCUACGCAAGAAUGACACCUCUCGUCUUAAUUAUGGAACCAGCUAUAUACCACGUGAAGACGACCGAUUCCAGCAAUAGGGACAUUUCUGGUUUCUCCAGAGCUGUAUCACAAAUCAAGCCACACAGUCAUCUGGCUAAGUCACAAUCUCUGUCAGCUCGCAAGGAUGUGACAUCACUUCCAAUGCUCUCCCCACCGUUACGAUGGUUUUGAGGCUGACUUACGGAGGUUGCAUUGCGCAUGUAGAAAUCACUUGGCUACAAAACGACUGGUGUUUUGCGGCGUCCAGCGAGUUAUCAGACAAGGCUUCGACACAGGCUUCAAAUAAGGUCGAUCUCUAGCAUGAAGAUCUGCUCAAAGAGCAGCCGAACAGAGUUUCCCAGUAAUUUGCGAAAAUGUCAUCGCAGUACAUCCAACUGAAAAGAUUGGUCGGAUCGCUGGAGGUUGAGCCUCAAGAACCACCAGAAAGAGUCUGACCCUCUACCAAGUUCCACAAAAAUUUAUGUGCAGACAGUCGGUCUACCUGAGGAUGGUCGGAACCGGCAUUUCAUAACACAAUCAAGCUUCAGAACCUCUUUCAGCUCCAUGCAUGCACAUCAACUCCCACCAGAUCAACACAUGAUCACAAGCAACCAAAACCAGAGACACCACCACCCCCGACUCUGGAGAGAUGCGCGGUCGAUGGUCACGAACCACUAAACGAAUCCACUAAACCCACGAAGUUGAAUCAAGGUAAUCAACCAAAAAAACGCGCUCGCUCCUCCAACUGAUCCACAAAAAUGUAAGGAGAAAAAAACGAAACCCUGAUAAGCUCUAGAUCAACUACCAACCGCCAUGCACUUGAAUUCUGAAACCCACUCUGUAUAUGUAUACAUCUCUAGCUCUCCCCUCUCUCCCUCUCUCUCGCUCUGGGAAUACGCGCGCGCGAGUACAAGAGCGUCUCACAGUGCAUGUGUACUUUUCUCUUAAAAGUUCGGGAAGGACACCAGCUGCGCGGAUGAAAAGCAGCAGUUUCAAGCGAUAGUGGCCGCCAUGUGGGAAGGGAAGCUUUGUUCGUGAUGAUUCUGAUGGGGGAAGGGAGCAUUUUGUCCAAGGCAGCUGGUAAUUUGUUGGUAAGUUUCUUUCUUAAUCGAGAUCCAGGCUCGUCGUCAUAGGACUAGCGGCAGUGGAAACUGCCUGUUCAAUUCAUCACCCUUCGAGCACUUGGCGGCCAGGCCAAGUGGCAGAACCCACCUCCCUCCUUGUGACGCACUACACUCCCUCCUGUCGCGUUUCGGUGAAUCCAAGGCGACGCAGAAGAAGUAAGGAACCCGCGAACAAAAUUCGAACGACGCCAUCACUGCCCUCCACUCUCGCUUGGAACACUAUCGCUUAUAUAUAUAUAUAUAUAUAUAUAUAUAUAUAAGAAAAACAACAACGGCAACAUCAACAUCAACUACUUAACAACUUGGACGAUGUCUGCAUUUUCGAGCCUCCAAAAACUCGGUCCUCGUGAACGAUUUAAAUGGCCUCGGUUGUAUCGACAACGUGGGCGAUUGUCGAUAGAGGCCCAGAAUGUUCUUGUGCCUGUUGUUUAAGCAUUUUGCAAAUCUGCAUGGAUUCUUGUGGGUUUCGAGCAAUUGGGGAUGUUAUUUUAUUUUAUUUUAUUUUAUCACGAGACACAUCACCCUGUUGCUUGGUCAUGUGGAGUGGGUCUGUAGGGUCAAUUGAAGUUGGUGGGGUGGUUAAAUAAUGGUUUUAAUAGAGGUUUUAAAUGUGCAUUGUUCACUUGGACUUGAUGGGAGCUUUGAAAAUAUAAAAAAUAUAAAAGUGUAUGAACCUCAACAAAUACAAUUCCCAUAGAUCUAGACUUUCUUCAUUAAUGCAGUAAUGUAUGUGAACUAUUUAUUGGCAAAGUCAUAACAGAGUUAAACUCUUGUAGAUGAUGAAAUAAAUAUAUAUUCCAGGAAUUUUUUGAUUUUUUGAACCAGUUUUGUGUUUUUGCCAUUAACAUAAGGACAAAAAAAUACUUGCCUUCUGUGUGUGGAGAAUGUGAUACUUUAUGUAAUUUUUUCUUUUUUCAUUUUUUUUUUUUUUACUUGUAGCAUCUUUGAUUGAAAGGAGCAUGUAUCAAUUGUUUGUUGGGUGAGAAAAUGAUGAAAUUGACACCCACCUUACUUUCAUUGCACGUCCAAAGGAUGGAAUCAAUGAUGUAUCGUUGUUUAUUUAUUUAUUUUACUUAUACAUUUUUUUUGUUCACUAAUGAAAAUUAAUAAGAUGGCUUUAAUUGUCAAUACUAAAUUAUGAUAGUUUUUUAUAAUUGUUUUUGUUAAUCACUGAUACUAUCAUCACUUUUAAUUGUAAUAGUGUAAUAUAUUAAUAAACCCACACACAUUACACAUGUAAAGUUAGCAUACAAUUAAAAAAAUACUCGUUUUUUAUUUAAAAGUUACAAAAUAAAAUUUAUUUUUAUUAUUACUUGCUAACUAAUAUGAAAUUAGGCAUACAAUUUUACUUGAAUUCAAAGUAAAAUUCAAAAGAAUAAAUUUUUAGUAUUUUUAAGACAUUAUGAAUUUUUUUAGAUCCUCAUAAAACUUUCCAAAAGAUUUUAAUACAGAAAAUCAACACAAAACUAGUUAAACUAUUUUCAUAGAAUAUACUUUUAAAAACAAUUAUUUAAAUUAUUAGGUUACCAAAAUUUUAAUAGAAAAUCAAUUUCGUGUCACAAGCCUGAUAUAUUUUAAUAACAAAAUUUUAAUCUUCUAAAUAGUAUUAUUGUUAACAAAAAUAUAGAAAUUUGUGCCUUACUUGUCAUUAAUAUAAACUUCUAAAACUAUUUUUACUGUUGUACAAACUUCAUAAAUUCUAUAAAUAAAACAUUUGGGAAUAAAAUCAAGUUAAAAGAUUCUUAGAAAAAUCAUUUCAAGAACUAUAUUGACAAGUUUUUUUAAAAGUUUUUUCUACAAGUUUAGAUGUCCAAAUGUUAGAAGCUUAGACCACAGUUCAUUAGUCUUACAAGUAGAAAAUAUAAGAACAAAAUUAAAAUUAACUUUAGUUCUAAUAAUACCUCUGUUAAAUCUGGUUUUUAACUAUUUUAUAAGAUUUUCGUCAUUAUUUUCACAAUAUUAUAAAAAUCUUGGUAAUGACUGGUUUGUUACUAAAAUCUAAUCUAAUCAUAUUUUCGUUUUUUUACUUGGAUUUUCUCUCUAUUAAUUACUACAUUUGUCACUUUUGUAUUGUCAAGUCUUUAAAGAACUCUCUAAAGAAUACCAAUGAUAUUUUAUUUUAUACUUUAGUUCAUAUUUUUAUUUAUUUAUUUAUUUCUAAAACUGAUAAAAAUUUCAAAAUCACUUCCUACUUCUUUGGUAUAAAUUAAUUAUUGAUAUUUUGUGUAAAAGAAUGCUUUUAACAUUAUAUGAUUAAAUGACCUUAUACAUAUUGGCAUUGUUAUGACCACAUGAUUUAUCAACCCUUUUAAUCUAGUUCCAAUUAUAUUGCAUAAAAUAUGAAAUAAAUUUUUUUGCUUAAAUAAAUUAUUUCAAAUCAAAUAAAAAUACUUCUUAAAAGAUAAUCACAAAUAAGAAAAAUAAGAAAAAUAAGAAAAAUAAGAAAAAUAUUACAAAUUUUCAACAAGAAUAUAAUAGAAAAAAUAAUUUAUUCAUGAUAUAUUUUUAAAAUAUAUAUAUAUAUAUAUAUAUAUAUAUAUAUAUAUAAAGAAUAUUUUUGUACCAUGUAUGUAAUAAAAUUUGUAACAUACAGUGAAAUAAAUUAAUAAAUUAAAUUAUUUUACACAAUAAAUAUACUAAAAAGUGAAUAUUAAAAUAUAAGGCAUACUAAGUUACAAAUGAACUAAAAGUAUUUUAUUUAAAAAAUUAUUAUAUACUACAGUAUUAAAAUAAUAAUUAUAAGUAUUAUAAUUUUAAUUAUAAAAUAUUAGAAACAUAAUAUCUUAAAGUAUUGAAUAGAAAUUUAUUAUACUAUAUAUAUAUAUAUAUAUAUACACACAUAUAUAUAUAGAUAAAAGAGUUAUGAUAUUAAUAAUUUUUAAAGAAAUAUUUUGCAUUUAAAAAAAAAUUAAAAAAGUGAUUUGGAUAAAUAUUGAUGUUUUCAAUUUUUUUAAAAAAAUUUAAUCUAUAAAAUGAAAAUAAAUCUUAUUAACAUAAAAAUCACAUACACAUACACCAUACUUGGCAGGCAAUUAAAGUUCAUUUUUAUCAAAACAAAGUUUUCUAGCAUUUUUGUGGCAAUGCAACAUUUUCAAAUGAAUGAUACUGUAAUUCUAAUCAAAAUUUACAAUUAAAAUCAAUGGAACAUAAAGAGAUGUUAUAUCUAAAUUAUCAAUUCUAUCAUAUUAACAAUGUCAUGUAAUUAGGGACAAAAUAUCACCAUACAAUUGCCACUUCGACAAUAGAAUUGUUAAAUAUAAUUAUUCAAUGAGUAAUGGACAUAUAUAUACACACAGACAUUCACCAAAAGUCAAAAUCUCUUACUGUAAACACAACUAUAGAUUAGCUAAUUAUCAAAAAAUUAUAAAUUAGGAUGAAUAAAUAGAUUAAGAAGAAUUAGGAUUUCUACUGAUAUUCUAAAGCUGUUAUAAGACAUUAUAAAAGAAAUAAAGCAAAACACCAAAUAUGACUAGUCUUAUAAAUAUAAAUCAAUGCAUAAUAUCACAUUCAUUAUAUUGAUUUCAAUGCAUAAUACUGCAUUCAUUGCAUUGAUUUAAAUUAUCUUAUAAUAUUUAAUACUAUUAUUUUAUAAAAAUUAGAAUUAUAAUUAAUCUAAAAUAAUUUAUUGUCUAUUUUAUUAAUUAUUAUUAUUAUUUUUAGAAAUAAAAUAUAUAAAACCGAAUUUUUAUGAAUAAAUCAAAUAAUAUUAACAUCAAAUACUUUAACAUAUACUUGAAAUUAUUUUUAAACAUUACCUCUAAAAAAGAUAAUUAUAAAAUGAAAUUCUAUUUUAUAUGGAUUAUUGUUAAUUAAUAUUUUGUACAAUUAUGACAUAUAUGUAUAUAUGUAUGUAGACAUAUAUAUUUAUAUAAAUUUUAAUUCUUCCAUUUUUUUAUUAUCAUUUGUAAAGCUAAAAAUUAUUUAAUAAUAAAAUUUAAUAGAAUAUAUAUAUUUUUUGCAUUUAGAAAUCACAAAUUAAUAAUAAAUAAAUAAUAAAAAUAAAUUAUUUUACUUCCAAAAAAUAAUAUAUUUUUAAAAUUAAUAUAUCUUGAUAUUAAAGCUAUCAUAAAAGUUACUUUUAAUAUACUAAAAUAUAUAUAUAAAUUUAUAUAUAUAUAUAUAUAUAUAUGUGAGUAAAUCUAAACAAUGAGAUUUUUUAAUAUUAGUUAAGAAUAUUAUUUGUCUUAUUUCAAAAUAUAAUUGACAUCAAGGGUCUCAUGAAAUCCAUCCUCACUCAUAUGAAUGGCUUUAAAAUAAGAAUUGACAUUAGUACGCACAAUGUGACAUUCUAGUCAUAAUUAUAUUUUACUUAGCAUAUUAAGCAUUAACAAAUGAAAUAGAUCACAUCACUGACCAUACAAAUCUAGUAGUACAUUUUUUGAAGCUACUUGAAAGUGCUUCAUAUUGCAAAGUGCUCUAACAUUCAUGCCACAUGAAAUAAUUCUAGAAACUAAAUAAAGUCAGGGACUUUGGAUACAAAACCUCUUUGAAAUUGUCUUUUUGUAGAAGAAGACACUAUCUCUUAAGUGUCUUCUUCUACAAAAUAAGAUAUUCAAAAACUUUAAAAUUAUCUUUUUGUAGUAGAAUAAGGUAUUCAAAAAAAUAGUAUUUUAUUCUUUUGGUGAGAAUUUUGUCCAAGUAAUUGAGGUAGUCUAGUAAGUCUCCAUGAGUAAAUCAAAUAAUGCUGCCUUGAUGAUAGAUAUUCAUGUUAUUUUUGAGUGGCUUACUUUGCUCAAGGGCCAGAUUAAUAAUGUCUGCGUAUGUAAACACCAACUAUCUCAAUAAUAAAACUUAUUAUGGUUUGGUCAUGACCUCGAUAAUUUCUAGAAGUCAGAUGCAGGUAUAAUUUUUGUAUGAAGAUGUUAUAUUUUUUAAUAAUUUUAAUUUACAUAUAACAAUAUAUAUAUUUAAGAAUCUUUAGAAUUAUAAUCUACAAGUUGUAACUAAGAUAUAUAAUAGCUUAGUAUAUUAAGAUAAAGAAUGAUAUCUUCCUUGGUAUUGUCACAAAUAUACAUAGAUACUCUAAUAAAUACCUAUAUGAUUAGAUAGAAGUAGAUAAAAAUAAAUAAAAGUAGGUUAAUUUUAUAAUACCUUUUAGAGAGGCUUCUUAGAAGCUUCAUAGAUGUUGCUUUGACUUUACAUAUGUUUGUAAUUGAUUGAUAGGUUAGAAACUUGGUCAAUAAAUUAACCAUGUAUUGGUAGCUUAUAGAAUAAGCUAAUUAUGUGGCAUAUAUAUAUAGAAAACUUGCCUUGCAAGUUAAGAUACAUGUCUUGCAAAGUCAACAUAUUUUGGAGGUCCUAUAGGACAUUGCCAUGUAGCUCCUAAUUAAGAGAAUAUAUGGAGGCAAGAGUGAAGCCUUCUUCACUCUUGUCAAUGCCUUUCUAGUCUUUAGUCUUAUUUUAAGACUUUCUAGUCUUCUUAUUUUUAGCAAUAUCUAUUCUAGUUUAAUACUAUAUCAUCUUUGAGUGACUUUCUAUUUCCUUUCAAUGAAACAAGAGUGUAUUGAGGAUUUUCUUUCUCCAAGUUUCAUGUCCUUGAUAUGUACUCUUUCUUAUCCUCCUCUUCUUCAUUCUCCUUCCUUCUUCCACCUUCCAUGAAUGUUGUGCAAUUUGCAAUGGAAGAUUGAAGAGCCAUGGUUCAUUAAUUAUGAAGUUAGUUAUAAAGUAUUAAAGUUGACAGACGGAGUUAAGAUUUUUGAAGGUUGCAUAAGGUUUGGAUACUAUAAAUUUUGUUCAUAUCAAAGCUUUAAUAUUGGUAUAUAGAUAACCAGAUUUAUAAACUAUAGUACAAUUGUAUAAUUGUAAGAUCAUGAUCUAUUGAGCUACAUGCUUUAAUAAGCCAUGUAAAAGCAUGAGAUCUUAUAAAGAAACAAUGUUGAUCUUAAUGAUAAAUUGUGAGUCAUAAAAAUAUAGUUGAAAGUACUUGAUGGCAAAGGUAAUAGCAAGGCUUUUUUUAUUGUUGAUUCCAUGAUUUUUUUUGAAUUUCAAAAGAAGUUAGAAGAUAGAUACAAGUACUCAUUCUUUGCAAUCAAUGGUUUGGAUAAGAAUAAUUUCUAGACCAUUUCAAUUAAUAUCAAUUUGUAGGAUAAAAGAUUGAUAAAAAUGUAGAUAGAUGAAAAAAGAGAUAGUGCAUAAGUAGGCCUUGAUUUUAUCAAAAAUAUCUUAUUUGACAUGGUAUCAAGGAUAAGAACUUGAUGAAAAUAAAUAAACAAGUAAAACUUUUUUAAAGAAGUAUAACAAAAUAGAAAUUAGGAAGCAUGUGUAUUAAAAAAAAAUUAGAAUGACUAUUGCCAAAAGACAAGAAAAUUAGGAGCUUCUUAAAAUUAGACUAAAAAUAAGAAAAGAAUUGAUAAGUAUGAAAAAAGAUUUAUUCUUGCCUCUAUAUAUACUAUCUAUCUAAAAGCUAUUUGGUGACAUUCUAUAAGACCUCUAAAAUGUGUUGAUUUUGCAUAACACAUAUCUUAACUUGUAGGAUAAAUUUUCUAUAUAUAUGCUAUAUAGUUAGCUUUUUUUACAAGCUAUGAAUAUGUGUGAUAUGUGGUUAACUUGUUGACUAAGUGUCUAACUUAUCAAUCAACUAUAAACACAAGUAAACUCAAAGCACUGUCUAUGGAGCUUCUAAGAAGCUUUUUUAGAAGAUAUAAUGAAAUUAAUUUAUUUUUAUUUACUUCUAUUUAUUUAUAUUAUCUAGUUAAUAAUUACAAUAAAUAUAUAUCCAUGACAUUAUUCUCCCCUUUAUAGAUGAAUUCCACAUGUCAAAACAAUCUAAAAAUGUGGUAAAUUAUAUUUUAUACAUACUCUAAUCUUUAAUCCUUUUGAAGAUAAUUGAUAGGUCUUAUCAACCAUUGAUAAUGUUCUAUUCUACAAUGAAAAGACUACCUUGUUAUUUUAUUAUUGCUGAAAUCUUCGUAACUUCCUUCAAAUAAAACAUUUGUAACAUCAUCACGAAUUGUUCCUACCUCUAAUAAAAUCACCAAAUAUCAAGACUUUCUUCUUCGGUUGUGAUAUCAAAUAUAUUGUAUCUUGUCAUUUAUUUAAGGAAGAACAUAUUGCUCUUGUAGAUCUUUAUGCCUACUACAUCAUUUUAAAGGUUGUAAUAAUUAUAAUAUCUCUUUUGAUAAGUCAAUAAAUGAUGAUUCUUGAAUUGAAUUUGUUGGCUAUUGGUUCUUCAUUUCUUUAAUGCCACAGUUAUAUAGAAAAAACAAACAAAGAUAGAAGGUAGAAUAUAAUCGUUUUUUAAAUUAUAUUUCUUUUAUAGUAAAGAUUUGCUAUCUUUCAUCUUAAUUUAGAUAGAUGUUGUUGAUAAAAAGUUUAGACUUUCUUUAUUAUAUUUGUAAGAAUUUUUGUUGGCUCUCAUAUAUAUUUGUUAAUAUUAUAUUUGUCCCAAUGAAUAAGAUAUUCCAACCUAAGUCAAUGCUGCCUUGAAUUUAAGACUUCUUUUACUUCAAAUUUUUAAUUAUUAUCUACUUCUCUAAGAGGCGGUGGUAUUUGUAUUUUUUGUAAGAUAUUCAUUUUCUUAUAUGGCUCCAAAAGAAAUAUGUAAAAUAGGAGAUGGAUUUUUAUAGACUUUGGUAGAUAUAAUCAAUAAAAAAUUGGAUUGAUUUAGUCACAAAUAGGAGAUGGUCCAAGUCUACAAUAAUCUAAUUUUGUUCAAAUAAAUGAUUUAUCAAAUCUUUUACUAUAUGAUUAUCAACUUUUAAAAAGUCAAAAGCAUCAAAUCGUGGAUAAUAAUCAUAAUUAAUAAAAAAGAUUUAUUACAUAGAAAAAUAUAUCAUAUUAUUAUAAACAAACUCUGCUAAUGAUAAAAGAGUUGUCCAAUCAUCUUGUUGAUAGUUGAUAGUUAAUAUUACUCCAAUAUUUGAGAUCAAAUAUUAUUCCAAAACUUAAUUUAUACACUUUCUUUAUCCAUUAAUUUGAAGAUAAAAAGCCAAAGGUAGUUUUAUAUCUAUUUUUAGAAUCUUAAAAAUUAUUUUUUAAAAUCUUUAUAUAAAAUAAAUUCUCCUAUUUAAUAAAAUAUCUUUAGAUAAUCCAUGAGAAUAAUAGAUAUUAUUAAAAAAAAGCUUAGUUAUUUCUUCACAUUUGAUAGAUUUUGUACAUGGUACAAAAUAUGCUAUCUUGGUGAAAUGAUCUACUAUCACAAGUAUAGAGGCAUAAGUACCUAAGACUAAAAGAUCUAUCAUAAAAUCUAUAGAAAUAGAAGAUUGUGGUUUUUCUAAAAUGGAUAAUGUCUAAAGAAGUCCAUAAGAUCAAUGGCAAGAAGUUUUUGAACUCAAACAAAAAUCACAAGAUUGUACAAAAUCUUUGACUACCUUCUACAUUUGGAAUCACUAAAAUUCUUUGAAAUAUUAAUUCCAAAGUCUUAUUUUAUUUAAAAUAUCCUAUUGUUAGAAAGUUAUGAGAAGCUUGAAGAAUACAUAAUUGAACUUCAUCUUCUAGAAUAUAUAAGAAUCCUUUCAAAAUAUAAUAAAUUAUUUUUAAAUUCAAACUUGAAAGUAUUAUGAAACUUUAAAGGAUUUUUCUUAAUAUCACAAAUAAGAAGAUUAGAAGACAUACUUGAUUGAACUUGCUUAAUAAAAGUUGAAUCAAUAAUUAGUGCUGAUUUCAUUAUUCAAAGAUAAAGAUGGUCUGGCUUUAAGAGAAUAAUUUCUUGUUGAUUAAAGGUAAGAUGAUUUAAAAAGAGUAUUUGAUAAAUCUUAUUAUUUUUUUAGUUGAUAAGUGAUCUUGAAUUUGAAUCUUGACAAAGACAUACUUUAGUGGGCUUGGCGAUAAUUCAAAAUAUAUGCUGAUAUAAAAUAUUUAAAGUUCUUAGGUUUUGCAUAUAUAGUGGCUGAACUAGGAGCGCGUUCUAGAUAAUAGUGCCAUUCUUGAAAUGAAUCUACAAUUGCAAAAAGUUUAUUAUUGUAGAUGUCAUAAUAGAUCUUGAUUGCUAAAAUAUUUUUGGAAUGAAAAGCUAGUGGGUGAAGUUUAUUAUUUAUUCCCAUUUAUAACAAUACAAUAUCUGAAACAAAGUUUGAUGCAUCUAUUUCUAUAAAGAAUAGCUUAUAAAAGUCAAUGAAACAUAAGAUUGAUGUAUAAAUAAAGGCUAUCUUCAAAGCUUUGAAUGUUGCUUUUGCUUCUUGAUUCUAUUGAAGUUUGUCUUUAUAAGACAAAAGUGCAAGUAGAGUUGCAACUUGAGAAAAGUUCUUUAUUAAGAUCCAAUAGUAACUCGCAAAUGUCAAAAAGUAUUAAACAUCUCUUAUCAUUUUUGAGAUCUUCCAAUCUAUAAUAGUUUGAAAGUUUUUAGAAUCCAUCAUGAGUCCAUUAUUUGAAAUGAUAUAUUCUAAAAAGUUGACUUGAAUAAUAUAAAAUAUAUACUUUUUUAUUUUAACAUGGAGUCUUGCAUCUCUUAAUUUUUGUAAUACAUGAAAAAUAUGAAAUUCAUAUUUUUUUGUGUUCUUAGAAUAGAUUAAAAUAUUUUCUAGAUAAAAAACAAUAAAAUUAUCCAAAACUCUUGAAAGACAUCAUUCAUUAGAUGUUGAAAAACUAUUGCUAUAUUUAUAAGUUUAAAAGGCAUGAUAUUAUAUUCAAAAUAUCUAUACUUGGUUCAAAAUACAAUCUUCCAUUCAUCUCUUUUUUUGAUGCAUAUUAGAUUGUAUGUCUCUUAUAGAUCUAUUUUUAUAUAGAUUUAAGCUUGAUUCAAUUGAUGAAAAAGUUUUAAUAUAAAAAAUAGUAAGUAUCUAUUAUUAAUAGUAAUCUUAUGAAGUUCUUGAUUAUCAAUACACAUCCACAAUAAUCUAUCUUUUAUCUUUACAAAUAAAAUUAGAGCUCUCACUUGAGAUUUAGAAUAGCAUAUAAAGUUUUUAGGAAGAUUCUUUUUAAUACAUUCUUUAAAUUCAAUCAAUUCAUUUUGUGAUAAAUUGUAGAUUGGUCGAAAUGGCAAUUAAACUCUUUCUUGAAGUUUCAUUGAGCAAUCAUAGGAACAAUGAUUCAAAAGAAUAUUUGUAUUUUUUUUUCAAAUAUAUCUUUAAAAGCUUGAUUUUAGCUAGGAAUGACAUUUGAAGACUUUCUACCAUUAAAAAUAAGUGUAGCAUAAAUGAUAUAAGGUCAUCUUUCUUUUGUAGCAUACAAGAAAGCACUUGCAUCUACAAAUAUAAAUUUGGUUAUGCUAGACUUAUGACUUUUUACCUAAUUAAUUACACUCUUAAUUAUACUUUCAAAAAAGUCAAGACUAUGAAAAAUCCAAUUUAUUCAAGGAUUUUACUUUUCUAACCACAAUAAAUCUAAAAUGAUUAGAUUAAAAAAAGAUCUAAUAAUAUUAAAUACCACAAAGCUAUUAUAACUAUUAGUUACUACUUUUAAAAGAAACAUUUAAUAGAUAACAUCUCCAGAAAAUAAUAAAUAAUUAUCUAUGAUUUUUACAUAAAUAAAUUUUAUUUUCUUUAUUAAAAAUGUGUUGAUGAUGUCUUAUUCUUUCAUACUUUCUUCAUAGCCUACUUGCCACAUUAGAUAUAUUUUAAUAAUAAUAUUGUAAGUAAUUAAAAUAUUUUUAUAAAGAUUAAUUAGACCUACAUUGAAAAUAUCAAGGUUGUUGUACAUGAAGUGAAUGACAUAGUGGUAUUGCUCUAUGAAAAUAUUGAUGUUUAGCUGCAUGUCUUAUAUGGUAGUAAGAAAUAUCUUGUGAUCUUUUUUUUUGUAUGAAUAUGGAUUUUAAUUUCAUGUUGAUCAAAAAAAGAGUUGCACAAGAUUGAUGUACCUCAUUUUAUGUAAUGUCCAUACUAUAGAUAUUUAAAAACUUGUUAAUAAUAUAUAUAAAAAAAUAAACAAUGAAAUAGACCAGAAUAUAGUUGAUUUGAAUGUGUAUUGGAGCAAGUAAUGGAUUGGUUAAUAUGAAAAUAAUUUUAUUGCAAUAUUAUUGAUUCAGGAUUAAUUGUCAUACAUUGAUGUGCAAUAUUGAAAAAACAUGAUGUUUAUACCAUCUAAUCUAGUUUUAAAAAAAAUUAUUUCUAAUAUUGAAAAUCAUAUCAAUUGUGGCUUAAAUUGUAAUAAAGUUGAUUAUCAUUGUUAUUAUGCCAAAGAGGCAAUAAACAAUGCCAUUUUCUAUCAUAAUUUGCACAUUAGUUAGCAUGAUGUAGAAGUUGAAGAUCUUGAUAACAGCAAGGAGAACCGCCAUCACAUUACAAGUUAUGUCAAUGAUCAUAGAUUGAUUAAUGCCAUUGAUUUUCUAUUUAAUCAUGAUUUAAUGGAUUUUUUAAAAUUUUUAAAAUUUUUGAUUUUUUUUGAAAGAAUAGCAUAAUUAAAUUAGAAGAAUAUAAGAUAUAUUAGAAUAAGUGGUCUUACCAUGGUCUUCACAUACUAGCCGUAGAAAGAUGUGAUGGCUAGUUUUAAUAUAUUUUUAGUAUGGAUUAAGCCUCCAAUUCCUUCUUCAUAUUGUCCAGCUACUUAAGUAUGAAUGGAUGCAAUAGGCAGCUCAUGGCAUUAAAUUCCAAUGUAUUAUAAAUGCAAUAUGAGUACACUUUACUUUUGAAACUCAAGUAUUUAUGUAUUCUUUGGUGAAAUCUGACUUAAUUCAAUGGAUGACACUACGGAGCACAACCAAUUGCAUGGUGAAUUCUUGUAUUAUAAUAAUAUCAUCAAUGCUCUCAAAAUUAUAUAUGCAUUUAUUAUUCAAGCCUUGAUUAUGUUAUUUUUGCAUAAUUACAUUGGAUGUUAUAUGAAACAUGAUUGUCAUAGACAUCUUAGGCUUUAUUUGUUAUAAUGGAAUAGAUAUCAAAUAUUAAAGGCAUAUAUUGAGGUAGCAUAAUAUGACUUUAUGCAAUAUAAAAGCAUUGACAUCUACCUCUUGUAUAAGAUCCACAAUUAAAAAUUAUAUAAAGUAUUGUAAUGCCACAUAGCACAUAGUUGUAAAUUUAUCCUUCUUCAUAAUUGUAGCUUAACAUGAUUGAUGAAGCAAGAAAAAUAUAAGUCUAAACUAUUUUUAUAUUGAUAUUUAGUGAUAUUUAGGUAGUUCCAUGUUAGAUUUAAUUGAUUGGCAUGGAUAAAGAAUGUCUUGCCUAAAUAUUGAGUUUAUAUCUUUGUGAGCAAGUUAGUGCAAUCAACCUAUAAUUCAAAUACAUUUUAAGCAUCCUUAAGAAGAAAGUACAAUAUUAGAAGACUUAAUACAUAUCUAAGAUAUCAUACACAUUAGCCACACUAAUAAAGUCUUGAAUAAAGAUGAGAUAGGUAUCACCAAAAGAUUUUUUUUAAAAAAGUAAAGAUAGGUAGCUUAAUAGGAUUAAUAUAGGACUUAUGAGUGUAUUUGGCACAUAUCAUUGUGAUCAGUGUGAUCAAUGAUAAGAAAGAUAUAAUAAAAAGAACUUACAAAGAAAACAUGCUAUUGAUUACCUCUAUGACAAGGCAAACAAUAUACAAUAUCUGAUCUUCCAACAAGAAUUUAGCUACAUAUUAUACCUUUAUUGCCACCAAUUAUUUGUAGAGAACUAAAAAGAAAUUUCUUAGUUUUACAAAUAAGGAAUCUUUUGCAAUUAGAAAUAUUAUGGACAUUUGGAUUUUCAUAUAAAGUAUCUUUAAAUCCAUUGGUGUGAUGGUGGUUCCAAAACCUUCACUGUUGAAGAAGGAUGAAAUAUGUGGAUUGAUAAUAUUUAUAAUUUGUCAUGGACCUACAUAUUUAUUUAAAUGAUUAUCAAUAUAAUUAGAUAUAAAUAGGUAAAAAUAGAUUAAUUUCAUAAUAUCUUUUAGUCAAGCUUUUUAGAAGCUUUAUAGAUAUUGCUUUAAUUUUAUAUGUAUUUGUAGUUAAUUAAUAGAUUAGAAACUUAGUCAACAAGUUAGUCAUGUAUUUUAUAUAUUGAUAGCUUAUGAAAUAAGCUAAUUAAGUGGUGCACAUAUAAAAAACUUGUUUUACAAGUUAAGACAUGUGUUUAGAAAAAUCAACACAUGUUGGAGGUUGUAUAGAAUAUUGCCACAUAGCUCCUAAUUAGAUAAUAUAUAUAGAAAUAAGAGUAAAGCCGUCUUCAUUUUUGUUAAUAUCUUUUUUUUUUUAGACUAGUUUUAAGAGUUUAUACUCUUCUUAUUUUUGGAAAUAGCUAUUCUAGUCUUAAUACUAUAUUACUUUUGGAAUGAAUAUUUAUUCUUCUUAAGCUUUACAAGAAUGUUUUAAGAUUAUCCUUAUAUUUAUUCAUAGCCAUGAUAGUUUAAUAAGAAUAUUAAUUGAUUUUUUUUGUCUUAUUUUAGAAGUGAGAAGAUUAUGUCACUUCUAUUGUUGUAUUUUAAAGGUUAAAAAUUAUCUACGUUUAAACAAAAAAAAUAAUUUUCUAAUAUUAAUUUUUUUCUAAAAGAGAGUGAAUCACCUCUCUUUGUGAAAAUUUUCAUUUGAUAUUAGAGAUUGUAGAUUAUCCUCCUCUCAUUUGAUUUUUGGAUUUACUUAGUUUUUUGAAAUAAAAUAUUAAAUUAUAGAUGCUACACUUAGCAAAAAUAAAAUAGAUUUGUAACUUUUGCAAAUCUUCAUGAGCUUGUUGACAUUCUUAAGGUAGAAAUUUCAUACAUCACCAAUGUCAAGCAUUCAAACAUUAUUUCUAUACCUAUGGAAGAAGUUGAGAGUCUAUUCUAAGAAAUUAUGUAAUUGAAAGAAGCAAGUAGAUCAACCUCACAACCAAAUUCAAGAAGUCUUGUUUCUACAAGCAUAAGAAAAACAAGGAUUAGAAUAUUAAAUUUGAUAGAAUAAUUUCAAAUUUUUGAGGAUUUUUGCAAAAAAUUAAGCUUUAUUUAAGAUUGCAUCCUUUCCAAUACUCUAAUGGAUUUAAUAAAGUUAGAUUUAUACACACACUUUUUUUUGGUAGUGUUCUCUUUUUAUUUGUACCUUUGAUAGAAAAGGAUUUAUGGCUCUUUUAUGAUUUGAAUUCAUUCUAAAAAAUAUUUACGGCCAUAUUUGGUGAAAGUGAUCAAGAAAGUGUAAUAGAAACUAAGUUCUUAUCUUUACAAUAAGGAUCACAAUCACCCACCAUAUAUAUUGUUAAAUUUCAAAAUCUCGCUUGAGACAUUAUCAUAUUACGUGAAGUAUGCUUGAAAAUGCAUUAGACACUUGGUUGACAAAAGAAGAAUGGAACUUGCAAUAAGAUGAUUCUAACAACUAUAAUAGAAUCUUAAAUAAACUCCAAUUAAAUUAUAACAAUGCUAAUCAAUCCUUAAUUAAAUUCAAAAGAAGUCUCAAAACUUAUAAAAAAAAUAUGAAGAAAUAAAUAAAUUCAUCUUAAUCAAAUAUAUAAAAUAGAAAUCUUUAAAAAAAUAUCAAAAAUAGAUAUCUUAAUUGAAAUUUGAUCAAAUUCUAAUAUAAUCUUCAAUAAAUACUAAUAAAAUCUUAAACUCAUCUUAAUCAAAUAUUAAUGAAAUUCUAAUGAAAUCCUAUCUAGAUCCUAAUUAAAUCUUAAUCAAAUUUUAGACAAAUUUUUAAAAAAUUCUAAAUUAAAUCUUAAUGAAAUCCUAAUAAAAUAUUAUCUAAAUUCUAAUAAAAUCUUAAUCAAUUUCUAAUAAAUAUUAAUCAAAUACUAAAUCCUAACCAAAUUUUAAACCAAAUUUUGAACAAAUCCUAGUUAGAUCCUAAUCAAAUUUUAAUAAAAUCUUUGAACCAUUGAUUUUGACUAGAAUUCAAUACUUAAUGCUUGAAUCAUUGAUUUUGAUUCAAAAUUUUUAAACUUUUAAAAAACUAAAUUAACAAAAAUUAUAAAAUAUUUAAAGAAGAUCGUACAUAUCAAUUACAAGAAAAGCUCUCAAAACCUCUCGAUUGUUGGCUACCUUCUUCCUUCAGCUUAAAUGUUGAACUAUCAAAAAAACUUUCUCUUUGCUAAAUCAUUAAAUUACUCUAUAAUUUGAGUCAUGUGUAUAUAUUCAAGUCUAAAAUUUUCUUACUAAUUUUUACUUCAAUCAAAUUAGCAAAUAUUGCUAGAUUGCAAAAUCCUUCACUAAUCCUAAAUCUCAAUUAUUCAAGAUCAUAACACACAAAAAGUCUUAUACUCUUCAAUCUAAGUACUUGAUUGACCUCAAAUUUCUUACACAUUUAAAACAAACACAACAAUAAAUUAUCAAAUUUUUACCCACAUACAUACUACAAAAUUCAACAAAUCUUCAAAUUUGUAAACAUAUUUUUAUUUCUUAAAAUCUAAAUCCACCAAGUAUAAUAUUAAAUUUUAAAACCCUUCAAAAACUUAAUAUUAAUUAAAAUGACAUGAAAUCAACUUUCAAAAAUCUCUUCUCUAAUUUUUUCUCAAAUUUCAUUCUUUUUUUGACAAAAGAAUCAUAAAAAUAGUAUAAGUACUCAAUUUUAUACUUCAAGAUUUGAUUUCGGCCUUAGUUGACAAUUGGUCCUCUUCAAGUAUUAAUUAUUUUUUUCUUGGCAUAAUUUUUAUUAAAAUCAAUUCCUAACUAUCUCUUAUAUAUGCAUAUAUCUAUUAUUUUUUAAUCUUUUUUAUUUUUUCUAUUUAUGGCCAUAAAAAUAAAUAGAAUAUAUUUUUAUAAAAGAAAUUUUUAAUACCACAUGAUUUUACUACCUUCCUAACUUUUAUUUAUAUUUUUUUAUUAUAUCUUUUAAUUAGAUUUAUCUAUAAUAAAAUAAUUUUUAUUUCUUUCACCUAAUAGUUAUGUUAUUAUACAUAAAUAUAGAUUAAAAUAACAAAGCUUUUAUGAAUUAAUUUUGAUAUGGUAUCACAAACAUACAUAUUUGCUUUAAUAUUUACCUAUAUGAUUCAAUAGAAGUAGAUAAAAGUAAAUUAAUUUUAUAAGAUUUUUUAGAGAAGCUUUUUAGAAGCUUCAUAGAUGUUCUUUUGACUUUACAUGUGUUUUUAGUUGAUUGGUAGGUUAGAAACUUAGUCAAUAAGUUAAUUACAUAUUAGUAGCUUGUAGAACAAGCUAACUAUGUAUUACUUAUAUAAAAAACUUGCCUUGUAAGUUAAAAAUACAUGUCUUGUACAAUCAACAUGUUUUGAAGGUCCUACAAGACAUUGUCAUAUAGUGCUUAGUUAAAAGUAUAUAUGGAGGCAAGAGUGAAGCCUUCUUCUCUCUUAUCAAUACUUUUUUAGUCUUUAGUCUUGUUUCAAGACUUUCUAGUCUUUUUGUCCUUGGUAAUAGCCAUUUUAGUUUAAUACUAUAUCAUCUUUGAUUGAUUUUUUGAUCAUUUUAGGUGAUAUAAGAGUGUAUUGAUAUUUUAAUUUUUUGAGGUUCAUGUCCUUGAACAAGGAUUGAUAUGCUUGAAAAUAUUGAUGGAAUAAGAUCAAAAUUUUCAAGAUUUUUGCAAUAAGUCAAGCUCUAUGUAACGUUGCAUCCCUUCCAAUAUCUUGAUGGAUUUAUUCAAGUUAAAUUCAUAGGCACACUUUUAUCUAGAAAUAUUCUUUCUUAGUUUGUACUUUUAAUAGAAAAAGAUUUAUAAUUCUUUUAUGAUUUGAAUUCAUUCAUAGAAGUGUUUAUGGCCACAUUUGAAAAAUAUAAUAAAAAAAGAAUAGCAAAGACUAAGUUCUUAUUUUUAUAACAAAGAGUAUGGUCAGCCACCAUAUAUGUUGCUAAAUUCUAAAAUCUUACUUGCAAUAUGGACUAAAAUAUCAAAGCCUUUAUUAAUUAAUUUUAAAAUAGAUUAAAAGAUAAUAUCAAAUAUUUAUUAAUAAUAAUAUUAAAAGAAAAAUCUUUGGAAUAAUUUAUUACUCAAGCCAUUUUAUAUAAAAAUUAAUUAUUUAAAAGGUAUCAAAAAUAAAGAUUUGGAUAGAAAAGAAUAAGACAAGUAAUGAUAGUACCUUUCAAGUUUUCAAAAUUUAAUUCAUCAAGGUCAAAACCAAUGCAAAUUGAUGUGGUAUAUUUUAAAUUUCUUACUAAGCAAGAAAUAUUUAUUUGCAUCAAAAAGGUCUAUACUUAUAUUGUAGAGAAUCAAAAAAUAUUAUUUAAUAUUAUUAAAAGAAAUAAUAUAAUUACAAAAUAAAGAAUAUGGUUGCCAAACAAGACAAUGUAUCAAAAAAAAAGUCCCUCUAGCUAUAAUAAUGACCAUGUGGCUAGAGUCUUAUGUAAUUUUUAUUAAAGGUCCUAUUCUUUCUUGAGAUCUUUUAUGUUGUUUUAUAAUAGAAGUUUGUUUAGGAUCAAAAAUCAUAAAGUCUUAGCCUUGUUGAAUUCAAGAGCCUUACUCUAUUUUUUAGACAAAUACUUUAUCAAAAAAUAAGAUAUAUCAUUAGUUAAGAUAAUCAAAUCUAUCCAUGUAAAAGUAAUAGAUAAUUGUUUAUUAUUUUUUGGAGAUGUUAUAUAUGAAACUAUUCCUAUAGAAGUAACAAUUAGAAGUUAUAAUAGUUUGAUAAUAUUUAAUGUAAUUAGAUCUCUUUUCAAUCUAAUUAUUUUAGAUUAUUAUAGUUAAAAAAAUAUAACUCUUUGAUAGAUUGGAUUUCUUACAAUCUUGAUUUUUUCUAUAGUUUAAUCCAAUAUUUUGCUAGGUAAAUAGAAAUUCAUAAGAUCAAUACAUCUAAACUAUUAUUGAUAGGAGCAAGAAUUUUCAUGCAUGCUACAAAAGAAGGGUCAACUUUUGUUAUAUAUGCCAUACCAAUUUUUUAUAGAAAAAAUAUUUCAAGUAGCAUUCUAAGCUAAUAUCAAGAUUAUAAAAAUAUAUUUUAAAAAAAAAAUAUAGAUAUUCUUUCAAAGCAUUAUUUUUAUGAUUGUUCUAUUGAUAUUUAAGAAACAGCUCAACUAUGAAUUGGACCAAUUUAUAGCCUAUUAUAGAACAAGUUGGCUACACUCAAAGAAUACAUUGAUGAAAAUUUGGCUAAAAACUACAUACUCCAUUCUAAAUCUCUAAUCGGGACUCCUAUUUUGUUUGUGAAGAAAAAAGAUAGAUCUUUGUGGAUACGUGUAGACUAUGAAGGACUCAACAAGAUCACUAUUAAGAAUAGAUACCUUCUACUCUUAAUUUCAAGACUUUUUAAUCAAUUGAAUCAAGUAAAAAUUUAUACAAAAAUAGAUCUAUAAAAAACUUAUAAUCUAGUAUAUUUUUUAAAUCAAGUAUAGGUAUUUUAAAUAUAAUGUCAUGCCUUUAAGACUCAUAAAUGCAUCAAUUGCUUUUCAAUAUAUAAUAAAUGUUAUUUUUUGUAAAUUUCUUGAUAAUUUUAUUUUGUGUUAUUUAGAUAAUAUCUUAAUUUAUUCUAAGAAUAUAAAAGAGUAUGAACUUCAUGUUUUUUGUGUGUUACAAAAAUAAGAGAUAUAAGAUUAUAUACCAAGUUAGAAAAGUGUUUAUUUCACACUACUCAAGUUGACUUCUUAGGAUACAUUAUUUCAAACAAUGGUCUUAUGAUGGAUCCUGAAAAGAUCUAAACUAUCAUAAAUUAGAAGAUCUCAAAAGCAAUAAAAGAUAUGCAAUGUUUUUUUAAGAUUUGUCAAUUAUUACCAAAUCUUUAUUAAGAAAUUUUUUCAAGUUAUAAUCUCUCUUACAUACUUGAUAUGUAAAAACAAACUUAAGUAGACUAAAGAAGUUGAAGCAUUUUUUGAAGCUUUGAAGAGAACAUUUAUUUCUCUACCAAUCUUCUAUUGUAUCAAUUUUUUGAAGGCAUUCUUUAUGGAAAUAGAUGCAUCAAACUUUACUAUGGAUUUUUUUUGUCACAAAUAGAAGCAAAUGACAAGCUCUACUUAAUAGCUUUUUAUUUUAGAAAAUUUUUAGCAACCAAAAUUAAUAAUAAAAUCUAUAAAAAAGUAUUUUCUAUAAUUGUGGAUUUAUUUUAAAAAUGGUGUCAUUAUUUAGAAGGCCCUUUUAAUUCAAUUACUAUAUAUAUAUAUAUAUAUAUAUAUAUAUAUAGAUUACAAGAGUCUUGAGUACUUUAUAUUAGUAUGUAUUUUAAAUUAUUGUCAAACACGUUGGAACAUGUCUUUAUAAUAAUUUGAUUUUAAAAUUACUUAUCAAUCCAAAAAACAACAAGAUUUAUUAGACGCCUUUUUUAAAAAUUCUUAUCUUAUACCAAAAUAAUGAGACUCAACUUUUGAUCAACAAAGCAUAAUCCUCCUGAAGCUAGAGCAUUUUCAUCUUUGAGUAUUAAAAUCAAUAUUGAUUGUUGAUUCAACCUUUGUUAAGAAAAUUCUAUUAAAUAUGUCUUUUUAUCUUCUUGUUCAUGAUAUCAAGAAUAAUUCUUUUAAGUCUCAUAAUACUUCUAAGUUUGAAUUCAAGAACAAUAUAUUCUAUUUUGAGGGAUGAUUAUAUAUUUUAAAAGAUGAAGGGCAAUUACAUGUUCUUUAAGUUCUUCAUAACUUUCUAACAAAAAAAUACUUUAAAUAUAAUAAGACUUUAAAGCUAAUAUUAAGAGAUUUUUGGUAGCUUCAAAUGUAGAAGGUAGUUAAAGACUUUGUACAAUCAUAAGAUAUUUUUUUAAGAUCAAAAACUUCUCAUCAUUAAUCUCAUAGACUUCUUUAACAAUUCUCAAUUCCAAAACAACCAUGGUCUUCUGUUUCUAUGGAUUUUAUUAUAGAUCUUCUAGUUUCAAGUCCAUAUAAUUUUAUAUUUAUAAUAUUAGAUCAUUUUGUUCAGAUGACAUAUUUUGUAUUAUGUAUUAAAUGAAUCAUAGGUGAAAAAAUGGCUAAAUGUUUUUUUGACAAUAUCUAUCACUAUCAUAGAUUUUUUGAGGAUAUUAUAUUAGAUAUGAGGACUCAAUUUGUAUCAAGAUUCUAAAGAAUUAUUUUUAAGAUUCUAAAUCUAGAUAUAAAACUUUUUUUAGCUUUUUAUCUUAAAAAUAAUAGGUAAACAAAACAAAUGAAUUAAUUUUUGAAGCAAUAUUUGAAAUAUACUAUCAACUAUCAUUAAGAUGAUUGGAUAAUUCUUUUGCCAUUAAUAAAGUUUUAUUAUAGUAAUAUAAUAUAUUUUUUUAUUCAAUAAAUAUCUUUUUUUAAUAAUUAUGGUUAUCAUCUACAAUUUGAUACUUUUGACUUUUCAAAAGGUGAUAAUCCUAUAAUAGAAGAUUUGAUAAAUUUUUUAUCAAAGCUAUUUGCAACAAUAAAUGCACAAUUAAAAGAAGCUCAAGAAUAAUAAAAGAUCAAUGAGGAUGCCUAUUACAAGAAACAACUACAAUUUUUUUAUGAAUAAUAAGGUAUGAUUACUUCUUUGUAAUAUUAAGACUAUUUAUUCUUAUGACAAGUAGGCCUAUUAUAUUUUCCUAUUUAUAAAUAAGUCAAUCCUAUUACUUAUUGAUUAUAACUAUUGGAGUUUAUGAAGAUCCAUCUUAUAUUCCAUAUGUCUCUUUUUAAGCCAUAUAAGACAAUAAAUAUCUUAAAAAAAAGAAAAAUACCACUUUCUCCUAUAAAAAUAGAUAUUAAAUAAGAAUUCUAGGCAAAAGAAGUUUUGGAUUCAAGGUGGCACCAAAAUAGAUUAGAAUACUUUAUUCAUUGGCAUAGAUAUGAUGUUAGUGAAUGUACAUAGGAGCUAUCAAAGAAUCUUGUAAAUGUUAGAAAGAAGAUUGGAAUUUUUCAUUGAUAACAACUAUCAAAACUACAAUGAAGAAUAGAAAAUCUUUACUAUAAAAGAAACAAGAUUUAGAGAAGACAGCAUGCUACCUUCUACUUUUGUUUAUAAUUUUUGUACAUUUGUAAUGCUAAGGAGAUUGAAAAUCAAAAACUAGUAGAUUCAAUUCAAGAGCUAUUACUUAUUGACUUAUUUAAGGAGAUAUUACAAUUAUUACAACCUUCAAGCUGAUGUAAUUAAAAUAAAGAUCUACAAGAAUAAUAUGUCUUUUCUCAAAUAAAUGGCAAGAUACAAUGUGUUUGAUAUCACGACCUUGGAAGAGACUCUUAAUAUUUGGUGAUUUUAUUAGAAGUAACAACAACUCCUAAUAGUAUUCUAAAUUUUUUAUUUGAAGGAAGUUAUAAAGGCCUCAACAAUAAUUAAAUAAUAGAGUGGUCUUCCUACCCUAGUAUGAGAUACUAUUAAUACAUGACAUGACCUAUCAACUAUCUCAAGAAAACAAACAACAAAGUAUGUAGCAAACACAAUUCAUUACAUCUUGAAUUUCUUCAAUAUAUGAUGAUUGUUCUUCAUAGAAUUCAUUCCUAAAAGAGAGGGUAAUAUCAAGAACAUACAUAUUUAUUUUAUAUUUAUCUAUAUAAAUAAGUAGAAGUAGAUAAAAAUAUUUUUUUUUUUAAUAUCUUCUAAAGAAGCUUCUUAGGAGCUUUGUAGAUGCUGCUUUGGCUUUAUAUAUGUUUCUAGUUGAUUAAUAGGUUAUAAAUUUGAUUAAUAAGUUAAUUACAUAUUAGUAGCUUAUAAAAUAAGCUAAUUAUAUAGUGCACAUAUAAAAAACUUAUAUUGCAAGUUAAGAAUAUAUAUUUAACAAAGUCAACAUAUUUUAGAGGUCAUAUAGAACAUUGUCUUAUAGCUCUUAAUUAUUAGUAUAUAUAGAAGGAAGAGUUAAUCAUUUUUCACUCUUGUCAAUGCCUUUCUUGUCCUUAGAUUUGUUUCAAGACUUUCUAGUUUUUUUUUGUCUUUGGCAAUAACUGUUCUAGUUUAAUAUUAUAUCAUCUUUGAGUUUUUUUUUAGCCUUUUUGAAUGACACAAGAAUAUAUUGAUAUUUUAGUUCUUUGAAAUUUAUAUCCUUGAUAUAUGGAUUGAAAAAUAAUUUCAAUUUUUUUUAUUAAUAAUACCAAAAUUAAAUUUUUUUAAAACAAAUUAUUGCUCAAGCUAUUAUAUGUAACAAUCACUUAUUUAAAAGUUAUCAAAAACAAAGAUUUGGCUAAAGAGGAACAAGUCAAAUAAUAAUAGUAGCUCCUAAUUUUUUAGAAAAUUAUUCAUGAAAGUUAAAACUAAUGCAAAUUAAUACAAUAUGUUUUAAAUCUUUCACUGAGCAAAAAAAGAUUCAACGUCAUCAAAAAGGUUUGUACUUAUAUUAUGGAAAAGCUAAGCAUACUACUUGGUAUUAAUCCAAGAAGCAAUGUAAUUAUAAAAUAAAGAGCAUGGUUUUUAAAGAGACUAUAUGUCAAAAAACAAGUUUUUCAAAUUACAGUAGUGAUCUUAUGGCUGAAAUCAUGUGCAACAUUUAAUAAAGGUCAUUUUUUCUCUUCAAAUUUUUUGUCCUACUUUACAAUAGAUGCACAUUUAGGACCUAAAAAUCACAAAGCUUUUUAAGUUAACAAAGAACAUUGAUCCUAUGAUUGUUCAAUUUCAUCUUCAAGAAAGAGCUCAACUGCCAUUUGGACCAUUUGACAAUUUAUUACAAAAUAAUUUGGCUAUAAUAAAAAAAAUAUAUUGAUAAGAAUUUGGUUGAGAACUUCAUACAUUAUUCAAAAUUUUCAGCAAGAGUUCCUAUCUUAUUUGUAAAGAAAAAAGAUGGAUCUCUAUAGAUAUACAUAGAUUAUUGAGGAUUAAAUAAGAUCACCAUAAAAAAUGGAUAUCUCUAACCUUUUGUUUCAAGACUUCUUGACCAAGCCAAUGAAGCAUCAAAAUUACAAGAUGAAUAAAAGACUAUUUUUUGAACUAGAUAUGGUCAUUUUGAAUAUAAUAGCAUAUCUUUUGGACUUACAAAUAUAUCAGCCACUUUUUAAUAUCUCAUGAAUGAUAUUUUUUAUGAAUUCUUUGAUGAUUUUAUUAGAAUAAAAACUUCAUGUUUAUUGUAUCUUACAAAAACUUAAAGAUGCAAGAUUAUAUGUUAAGAUAGAAAAGUAUGUAUUCUACACUAAUUGAGUUGACUUUUUAAGGUACAUCAUUUCUAAUGAAGACUUAAUGAUGGAUCCAAAGAAGACCCAAACUAUCAUAAAUUGGAAGAUUCCAAAGACAAUAAGAGAUAUGCAAUGUUUUUUGGGCUUUGCCAAUUACUACCAAAUCUUCAUCAAGAACUUUUUUCAAGUUGCAAUUCUAUUUAUAUGUUUGAUUUGUAAAGAAAAACUUGAAUAGAAUAAAGAAAUAGAAGCUUUGUUUGAUACUUUGAAGAAAAAAAUUACUUUUAUACUAAUCUUAUAUCAUAUCAACUUUUUUAAGGUAUUUUUUAUGGAAAUAAAUGUAUUAGACUUUGUCUUUAAUAAAGUAUUAUCACAAAUAGAAGCAAAUGAUAAAUUCCUUUUAGUAGCUUUUAAUUUUAAGACAUUUUUAAUACUAGAGAUCAACUAUAAAAUCCAUAAUAAAGAAUUUCUUGUAAUUAUCGAUUCUUUUCAAGAAUAGCAUUAUUAUUUAAAAGAUGCUUCCAAUCUAAUCACUGUAUAUAUUAAUCAAAAGAAUCUUAAGUACUUUAUAUCAAUGUCAAGAAUAAUAACUUAAUAAAAUCAAAUAAUCAAAUGAAACUUUUUUUUAAGAAGUAUGACAAAAUAGAAGUAAAAAAACAUGUAUAUUAAAAAAAUUGGAAUGGCUAUUGCUAAAAGAAAAAAAUAAAAAAUAAAGACUCUUGAAUCUAUACUAAAGUAAGAAAUGAGUUGACAAGAGUAAAGAAGGCUUCAAUCUUGCCUCUAUAUAUAUUAUCCACCUAAGAGCUACGUGGUGAGGUUCUAUAGGACCUCUAACAUGUAUUGAUCUUGCAAGCCACAUGUUUUAACUUAUAAGUAGAGUUUUUUAUGUAUAUAUUAUAUAGUUAGCUUAUUCUAUAAGCUACCUUUACAUGUAAAAUGUGGUUAAUUUUUUGAGCAAGUUUUUAACCUAAAAAUCAAAUAUAAAUACAUAUAAAAUUAAAACCAUAUCUAUAAAGCUUUUAGAAAGCUUUUCUAAAAUAUAUUAUAAAAUUAAUCCAUUUUUAUCUAUUUUUAUCUACUUUUAUCUAAUCAUAUAGAUAAUUAUUAGAAUAAGUAUGUAUGUCCAUAAUAAUUUAUUUGUAACAUUAUCCACCUUUUUAAGAAUGAGUUCCAUGAAGUGCAAUCAUCAUAUGUUGAGAAAAUCUAAGAUGCAACAAAUUAUAUUUGCCACAUACUUUGAUCUUUAUUCUCUUUAAAGAUCAUUGAUAAGUCUUCUCAACCAUCAAUAAUGUUACAUAUGAAGUUAAAAAGAUUAUCUUGUUAUUUAAUCAUUAUUAAGACUUUCAUAACUUCUUUCAAAUAAAAUAUUUGAAAUAUUGUUAGAAAUUGUUCUUACCUCUAAUAAAAUCACCAAACAUUAGGAGUUCCUUCCAAGGUUGUGAUAUCAAAUAUGUUGUAUCUUGCUAUCUAUUCAAAAAAAUAUAUAUUAUUCUUGACGAUCUUCAUCUUCAUUACGUUGUGUUAAAGAUUCAGAUAAGCACAAUGUCUCAUCCGACAAGUCAACAAACAAUAAUUCUUGAGUUGAAUUUGCUAGUUGUAGGUUCUUCAUUUCCUUACCAUUACAAUAUAUACAAAAACUACAAAUAAGGAUAAAAGUUAGAAUAUUAUCUUCUCUUGAUCUUAUUUCUAUUAUAGCAAAAAUUUGAUUUUCUUCAUCUUAAUUUUGAUAGAUAUUAUUGAUGAAAAGCCUUGACCUUUUUUAUUUCAAUUACAAGAUUUAUUGCUAGCUUCUAUGUACAUUCAAUAAUAUCAUACCUAUACCAAUGAAUAAGAUAUUCCAACCUAUUUUGGUAUUGCUUUGAAAGUAAGUCUUCUUCUAUCUCAAAAUCUUCAUUUUUGUCCAUUUCUAUAGAAGAAGGUGGCACAUGUUUUUUUUCUUGGUAUAUUCAUUGUCUUGUAUGAUUCAUAAAAAGAUAUAUAGAAUAUAUGAUGGAUCUUUAUUCAUUUUAGUAUGUGUAAUUGAUAAGCAAUUAAAUUAUUUUGUUCACAAAUAGAAAAUGAUCUAAACUUACAAUAGUCCAACUUGUCACAAGGGCAAAUAGACUUAAUAUUGUAAUGAAAUAAUCAUAUUCAAUCAUCUACAUUAAAUUAUGGUUGUUCCUUGUAAUAGAUAUUUGUGUUUAUCUUUUGCUAUUCUUCAGCUUUUUGUAAUUGCACCUUCAUUACUGCAUGUAGCUCUGAUAAAUAAUUUGCCAAAUCUUCUACCACAAGAUUAUCAACACUUGAAAAGUCAAAAGCAUCAAGUCAUGGAUAAUAACCAUAAUUAAAAAAAAAUAUUUAAUAAAUAGAAAGGUGUACCAUAUUAUUAUUGGAAAAUUCUACAAAGGACAAAAGAAUUGUAUAAUCAUCUCAUUGGCAGUUGAUAAUACACCUAAAAUAUUGCUCCAAUAUUUGAUUAACAUACUUUUUUUGUCCAUCAAUUUGAAGAUGAAAGGCCAAAGAUAAUUUUAUAUCUAUCUUUAGAAUCUUUAAAAAAAAUUCAAAAUCUUAAUAUAAUUUGAAUCUUCCUAUCUAAUAUAAUAUCCUUCAAUAAACCAUGAUAGCAAUAGGUAUUUUCAAAAAAAAACUUGACUAUUUUUUCACAUGUGAUAGAUUUUGUACAUGCUAUAAAAUAUACCAUCAAUGUAAAAUGACCUACUAUCACAAAUAUAGAAUCAUAUAAACUUGAGACUUGAAGAUCUAUGAUAAAAUCCAUAGAAUUAAAAGACCAUGGUUGUUCAAGUAUGGACAAUGGUUAAAGAUGUCUAUAGGUUCAAUGACAAGGAAUUUUUGGCCUUGAAUAAACAUCAUAUGACUGAACAAAGUCUUUCAUUGCCUUCCACAUUUAAAACUAUUAAAAAUAUUUUAAUAUAGGCUCUAAAGUCUUGAUAUAUCAAUAAUAUUGAGCUGCUAUAAAGUCAUGAUAUGCUUGAAGAAUAUGUUGUUAUAUAGUAUAAUUUUCUAUUUAAAAAUAUAUUAACUAUCUAGUUAUAAAGAGUUUAAUUUUAAUUUAUUAAAUAAGUUUUAAUAAGUGAUGUAUUCUUAUUAUAGAGGCCAAAUAAAUAUAAUAAUAUCAAAAGAUAUUUUAUUAAUAAAAUUCUUUUAUAUUUAAGAAGCUUCAUGCAUAAGGCUUUCUAAAGCAUCUGAAAAUGUCAUAACAUCUUUUGCUAUAUUAAAUUAAAAUAAUUAUUUGCUAGUAAGCUUGAUUUUUAAUAAGCUCAAAGAAAAUCCAUAAUCUUCUUUAAAAAAUCCAUCUUUAUAUCAUAAUUUUUCUAUAGCUCAAUAUCUCCAUUUUUAACAUAUAUAUAAAGUCUUGGCUUCCAAAAUCCCUUUUAUUUUGCAUAAAAUAUCCCAAUUAUAGUAAAAGAUUUUUAAAAUAUUUUUUUCUAUAAAAGAUUUUUUUCUCUAAAUUUUAGAAAUUCAUAUCUCUUAAUCCAACCAUUCAAUUUUUUCAAAUUUUUAAAUAAUCUAUACUUUAUCUUUAAGCUUUAUUACAAAAAAAUAAAAAAUAAAUCUAUUACAGCUCAUCUAGCAUCUUAAAAAUCCUAGCAGGUGCUUUAAAUUCUAAUUUAUUAGUACUCAAGUAAUAUUUUCUUUAUAUUUCAAAAUCCAAAAAUUUAAAUACUAUAAAAUUUAUAUAUAUAAUUUAAUAACAUGAUAACAUACAAAAAAAUUUAGCCAAAAUCUUAUCAAAUUACUCAAAAUAUUGCUCAAAAUACAACCACUAGUAAAUCGGAUUACUUACUAUCCUUAGAUUACAAGUGCUGACUUCAACUUCCUAUAAUUUCUUCAACCUAGCUUAGAAUUUAUCAAAUAGUAUAUGAAAAGUAUAGUCAAAAAAGUACUUUCUUCAAUUCCAGUCGCCAAACUUUCAUUGCUUUCUAUAUGCAUGCAUUAUGUCUAAAAAAAUGACAAUAGGUACCAAACCAAUACCUUAAUUUUGAGCGCCUAUAUUUUUUUAUAAAAAUUCCAACUCACACAAAAUUUAUACCAAAACCAUAGCCAAAAAUUUAAAUUCUUUGAUUCUAGCCUCUUAAGUUUGAAAGACCUCAAAAGAAUAAUCCUAAUCCCUAAUAAGGCCAUGAGUAGCCUCUUUGAAGCCCAUUAGACAUGCCUUUUGAUCAAUAGCAAUGGAGAUUUUUAUCAUCUAUCUCCAUUCAUCCAUAUAGAUGUCUUUAAUAUUCUUUUUGCUACCAAAAUUCCUCUCCAAUCUUUUUUCUUAUAAGAUUUACAUAAUAUAUGCCUUAAAUAUCAAAUAAAAAAAUAAAAUAAGAUUCUAAAAGUCACUAAUAUAUAAUAAAUAUAGCUUUAAAUAUAAAAAAUUAUUAUCAAUAUAAAAUCAACUUUAAUAAUAGUCUUUUUAAACUCACCACUUCAAAAUAAUAAUCUAAAUAUAUUUUGUAACUAACUAAAAUCUAAUAAUAUGGCUCUUAUUACAUUGUAUAGUAAAUUAUACAUUAAAUAUUUAUAUGUAUUAUUUUCAUAUAGUAGCUGAAUCACAGUACAACAAUAUAAACGUGCUUAUUUUUUUGAAAUACAUAAGUGUCUUUGGAAAUAAAAUAGAUUAUUCUUCAAAUCAAACUUAGAAAUAUUAUGAGUCUUAGAAGACCAGUUUUUAAUAUCAUAAAAAAAAUGGAUCAGAGAACAUACUUAAUUUAAUUUAUUUGACAAAGGUUGAAUCAAUAGUCAAUUUUAUUUUACUAUUCAAAAAUAAAAAUGAUCCGACUUCAAGAAAAUUAUUCUUUGUUAAUCAAAAGAUGCGUCUCAUUUUUUUGAUGCAAGAUAAGAAUAUUCAGAAAUGGCAUUUGACAAAUCUUAUUAUUUUUUGAAUCUAUAAAUGACAUUGAAAUCAAAUGUUCACAAAGAUAUGUUCUUAUAGACUUGCAAUAAUUGAAAACAAGUGCUGACAUAAAAUAUUUAAGAUUCUUGUAAUUCGCAUAAAUAAUGACUAGAUUACAAGGGCCUUUUGAUAAUUGCACCAUUUUUAAAACAAAUCCAUAAUUGCAAGUUCUUUAUCAUGAAUCUUAUAGUUGAUCUUGGCUAUUAAAAAUUUUCAUAAAUGAAAAGCUUAUAGGUGAAGUUUAUCAUUUAUUCCCAUUUGUAAUAAUACAACAUCUAAAGUAAAGUUUGAUGUAGCUAAUUCUAUAAAGAAUGGCUUAGAAAAGUCAAUACAAUACAAGAUUAGUACAUAAAUAAAAGUUAUCUUCAAAGCUUUGAAUGUUGCUUCUGCUUCUUAAUUCCAUUAAAAUUUGUCUUUACAAGUCAAACAUGUAAGUGAAGAUGCAACUUUAAAAAUAUCUUUCAUGAAUAUCUAAUAGAAAUUGGUAAAUUUUAAAAAGUAUUAAACAUCUUUUAUUAUUUUUAGAAAUUUUUAAUCCAUAAUAAUUUGAACUUUCUUAAAAUCCAUUAUUUGAAAUGAUAUAUCCUAAAAAGUUGAUUUGAGUAGUGUAAAAUAUAUAUUUUUCUAUUUUGGCAUAGAGUCCUACAUCUCUUAGUUUUUGUAAUAUACAAUAAACAAGAAGUUCAUAUUCUUUUGUGUUUUUAGAAUAGAUUAAGAUAUCAUUUAAGUAAUAGAUAAUAAAGUCAUCUAAAAACUAUCAAAAAAAAUCAUUCAUUAGAUGUUGGAAAGUUGUUGGUGCAUUUGUAAGUCCAAAAGACAUGAUGUUGUAUUUGAAAUAUCUUUACCUAAUUUAAAACGUAGUCUUUUAUUUAUUUCUUUUUUUAAUGUGUAUUAGAUUAUAUGCUCCUUAUAGAUUUAUUUUUGUAUAAAUCUUAGCUUGAUUCAAUUGUUUAAGAAGUCCAAAUAUCAAAUGUAGCGGGUACUUCUUCUUGAUGGUGAUUUUGUUGUAUCCUUCAUAAUUUAUACACAUCCACAAUAAUCCAUAUUUUUCCUUUAGAAAUAAAAUUAAAGCUCUUGCUGGAGAUUUGAAAUGGCUUAUGAAAUUUUUAGACAAUUUUUUUUCAAUAUACUCCUUGAAUUCAACUAAUUAAUUUUACAAUGAACUAUUGAUUGGUCCAAAUAGAGGUGGAGCUCUUUCUUGAAGGUCAAUUGAAGAAUCAUAAGAAUGAUGUUCUGAAAAAAUAUCCACAUUUUUCUUCUCAAAUAUAUCUUUAAAAUCUUGAUACUAGCUUGAAAUACCACUUAAAGUCUUUUUACCUUUAAAAAAAAAUGCAACAUAAAUGACAUAAGAUAAUAUUUCUUUUGCAACAUGCAAAAAAGCUCUUGCACCUAUAAAUAAAAUUUUAGUUGUACUAAACUUAUGACUUUUUACUUGAUUUAUUACACUAUUAGUUAUACUUUUAAAAAAUUCAAGACUAUGAAAAAUCUAAUCUAUUUUACAAUUAUAUUUUUUUAGCCAUGAUAAACCUAAAAUGACUAGAUUAAAGUAAUAUCUAGUAAUAUUAAAUAUUACAAAGCUAUUAUAACCAUUAAUUGUUAAUUCUAUAGGAAGGAUUUUAUGAGUAAUAUCUUGUGAAGAUAAAAGUUGAUCAUCUAUGACUUCUAAGUGAACAAGUUUAGUUUUCUUUACUAAAGAUAUGCUAUGUUUUUUAGCAAAUUCUUCAUCUAAAAAACAUAUUGAGGCUCCUCAAUCUAACAAGCCAAAGACUUUAUAAUAUUUAGGUUCUAAAAUAAUAUUUAUUAUAAAAUAAAGAGAAAAUUUUGUGGAGAGAAUUUUGUAGAGAGAAUAUGACUUUUAUUAGGUAUUGUAUAAGGUUCCAAUUGCAUAAUGUCAAUUAUAGUUGGAUAAACUCACUUUUUGACAUACUAUCUUUUUUGAUAGCUAUACUCUUCAUUUUUUGGUUGUGUCAUUUCUUUGAAUAAUAUUGACUAGUAUGCUUAGAUAUUCUAUAAUAUAAGUAUAAUAUUUUUUAUUAAUAAUGAGUCUUUUUUUGCUUAAUAAGAAGUUUGAAAUAUAUUACAUCAAUUUAUAUAUCUUCUACUUUUAAAUGUAUAUAUUGAGGAGAUAUUGGUAUUGACAUUGAAUUAUAGUAACAUUAAGAUGUGCUUAUUGUCAAGGAUAUGAACUAAAAGAUGAUGCAUAAACCAAUGAAAUCCGUGUCAAAGAAAGAGUAACAAAAUACAAAUAAGAAAGUACGUAUAUUAAAAAGAAAUUGGAAUGGCUUAUUACCAAAAGACAAAGAAACUUGAGACUCUUGAAACUAGACUAGAAGCAAGAAAGGAGUUAACAAGAGUGAAGAGGGCUUCACUCUUGUCUCUAUAUAUACUAUCUAAUUAAAGGCUACAUUGUCAUACUGUAAUUGCUUACAGUAUGUAAAAAUUAAUUAAAAUAUAUAAUAUGUUUGUAAGUCUUGAUGUAGAUUAGAGUGAUUAGUAAAUGAAUUUAAAGAGAAUUGAUAUAAGAAAAUUUCUUUAGAGAUUUAUCUAUUUUGAUUAUAGUGUUUAUAUUAUGUAGGAUUUAGAUAUUUAAUAUAAAGCUUAACAGAAGGUUGGGGCCUAAAGAAGAAAAUCUUGACUAAUAGGAGGCUUAUUGGAAGGGAUGAAAGCAAGGUAUGGUUGGAUAAAGGCAAAGAAUGGGAAACUUCAUUCCUAUUGAUCAAAGGCCAUGCCCAAUGGGCUUCAAGGAGGCUGCCCGAGGUCUUAUUAAGGAUUAGGAUUUUUCUUUCGAAUUCAUUCGAGCUUUGGAGGCUAGAAUCAAAAAGUUCAAGAUUUUGGGUAUAAUUUGGAUGAAGAGUUUGUGUGAUUUCGAGUUUUUGUGAAAGAGAUAUAGAUGUUCAAAGUUAAGGUAUCAAAUUUGUACCUACUAACACUCUUUGAAGUAUAACAUAUGCGUACAGAGAGCAAUGAAAGAUCGACAAUUGAAGUUGGAGAGGACACUUUCUUGACUACACUUUAUAUGUACUGUUUGAUGAAUUUCAAGUCUAGAUGAAGGAGUUAUAGACAUUUGAAGACAACACAUGUAAUUCAAAGGCAGUAGAUGAGUCAUUUUGUUGAUAGUAAUGGUUGGAGCCAUAUCUUGAGUUUUUAGACAAAUUUUUGGCUCAAAAUUUCCAUAAAUAUGUGUUAUUAAGUUAAGAAGCUAUAAAUCAAAGUUUCAUGAUAUUUUACUUAUUUUGUGAGAUAUGAAGAAAUUAGCAUGUCGAUAUAAGUAAGCUAGGGUUUAAAGCUAUUGCUAGGAUUUUAGUGAUAUCUCAAGAUCCAUAACGAAUUUGUAGUUGAUUUUUUUUGUGAAAGUUUUUAAAAGUAUAUUAGUACUUCAUAUAAAAUUUAAAGUUGUUUGGAUGGUCCGAUCGUGAGAUAUGAGCUAUUGAAGUUUGGAAAACAUCUCUCAUAAGGAUAUAUAAGGUUUUAAGAUCUUUAUCAUACAUUUGGGUGUUUUCUUGGUACUUGGGCUUGUGUUUUGAUGUAAUUGCCCAAAAAGAGAAAAUAUUAUAUGUAUAAACUUGGUUUUUUAUAUCUUAGACUUGAUUGAGUAUUUAGUGGUAGCCAGAAGCCCAGCGCUUUCUUGAGGCAAACUCUCUCUACUCCGACAAUGUGGUGAUGUUCUAUAGGACCUCCAAUAUGUGUUGCUUUAUAGGACACAUGCCUUAACUUAUAAGAUAAGUUUUUCUACAUGUGGGCCACAUAGUUAGUUUGGUCUUCAAGUUAACAACAUAUGUGGUACAUGGCCAACUUGUUGACCACUUUAGUAAUCCAAAAAAUCAAUUAUAGACACCUAUAAAGUCAAAACAGCAUCUAUGAAGCUUCUAAAAAGCUUUUGUAGAAGAUAUUAUAGAACUAACUUACUUUUAUCUACUUCUACUUAUUUCUAUAUAUUUAUACAAAUAAUUAUUGGCUUACAUGUAUAUGUCCAUGACAUUACUCCCUCUUCAAGGGAUGAGUUCCAUAAGGAGCGGUCAUCAUAUGUUGAAGAAAUCUAUGAUGCGAGAAAUUAUAUUUGCCACAUAUUCAGAUCUUUAUUCUCUUUGAAGAUGGUUGAUAGGGUCUCUCAACUAUUGAUAGUGUCGCAUACCAAGGCGAAAAGACCACCUUAUUAUUUGAUUGUUGUUGAGGCCUUCAUAACUUUCUUCAAAUAAAAUAUUUGGAACACCAUCAAGAAUUAUUCCUACCUCUAAUAAAAUUACUAAACAUUUAGAAUCUCUUCUAAGAUUGUGAUAUCAAAUAUGUUGUAUUUUACCAUCUAUUCGAGGAAAAAUAUGUUAUUCUUGAAGAUCUUCAUCUCGAUUUCAUCGUCUUGAAGGUUGUAACAAUCAUAAUGUCUCGUCCAACAAGUCAAAAAAAGAAGGUUCUUUAAUCAAAUCCGCUGGUUGUUGGUUUUCUAUCCCUUUAGUGUGACAACUACAAAGAAGCUACAAACAAGGAUUGAGAGUAGAAUGUUAUCUUACCAAGAUCUUGUUUCUUUUAUAUGAAAGGUUAUCAUCUUGAUUUUGAUGGAUGUUGUCGAUGAAAAGCCUCCACCACCUUUGCUAUAUUUGUAAGAUUUUUUACUAGCUCUCAUGUACAUUCACUAAUAUCAUAUCCAUACCAAUAGAUAAGUUAUUCAAAUUUAUUUUGACAUUGCCUUGAAUCUAGGACUUCUUCCACUUCGAACUUUUUAUUAUUGUCCACUUCUAUAGGAAGAGAUAGAGCUUGUCUUCUUUUUGAUUUGUCUACUAUCUUAUAUAGUUCAAAAAGAGACAUGUGGAAUAUUGGAUGGAUUUUUAUUAACUCUAAUAGAUGUAAAUAAUAUGCAACUGAAUUGAUUUGUGCAGAAAUAAGAAAUGGUCCAAGCCUACAAUAGUCCAACUUGUGACAAGGAUGAGUGGUCUUGAUAUUGCGACAAAGUAACUAUAUCUUGUCAUCCAUGUGGAAUGGUAGUUAUUUCUUUCGAUAGACAUCCACAUUGAUCUUUUGUUGUUCUUGAGUUUCUUUUAAUUGUACCUUCAUUGUUACAUGUAGCUCUAACAAAUGAUUUGCCAAAUCUUCUGCCAUAGAAUUAUCAAAUUUUGAAAAGUCAAAAGUAUUAAGUUAUGGAUGAUAACCAUAAUUGGCAAAGAAAGGUGUUUAUUUUGUAGAAGAAUGUAUCGU